UCUGUUUCUUUCCUUUCAUGGCUCACGGCCACAUGAUACCGAUCUCCGACAUGGCCAAGCUCUUUGCAUCCCAAGGAGUAAAAACCACCAUAGUCACCACUCCUCUAAAUGCCCCAACAUUAUCCAAAGCCACCCAAUCAAGUAAAACCUGCUCCGGCGGCGUCGAAGUCAGAAUCAAAACCAUCAAGUUCCCUUCUGUAGAAGCCGGUCUGCCAGAAGGGUGCGAGCAUGUCGACUCACUCCCCUCACCAGAAUUCAGGACCAAUUUUUACAAAGCAACAAGCCUUCUCCAAGAACCUCUAGAGCAUCUUCUGCUCCACGAAAACCCUAGUUGCCUUGUGGCAGACUUUCUUUUUCAUUGGGCAACUGAUGCUGCUGCAAAGUUUGAUAUUCCAAGGCUAAUUUUUCAUGGCACUAGUUUCUUUGCCAUGGCUGCCUCAGAUAUUGUGACAAAGUAUGAGCCGUUCAAGAACACUUCGUUGGAUUCGGACCCUUUCAUGAUUCCGGAUUUUCCUGGUGAGAUUACGAUGACACGAGCCCAAGUUCCUGAUCAUGUCAAGGAAAAUAUCGAAAACGACUUGAUCCGGAUGGUCAAACGGGCCAAGGAAGCUGAGAAAACGAGCUAUGGAAUUGUUGUGAACAGUUUCUAUGAGCUCGAAUCGGCUUAUGCAGAUUAUUACAGAAACGUGCUUGGGAUGAAAGCUUGGCAUAUUGGCCCUGUUUCUCUAUGCAAUAGAAACAAUGAAGAAAAAGCACUUAGAGGAAAAGCAGCUUCCAUCAACGAGCACGAUUUCUUGAAGUGGCUUGAGUCAAAAGAACCUAAUUCGGUUGUUUAUGUAUGUUUUGGAAGCGUGGCUAAAUUCAAUGCCUCUCAGCUUAAGGAGAUUGCAAUGGGGCUUGAGGCUUCUGGGCAGGACUUCAUGUGGGUUGUGAGGACCGGACAAGGUUAUGACAUGGAGAAAGAGGAGUGGCUGCCAGAAGGGUUUGAGGAUCGGAUGGAAGGGAAAGGACUAAUCAUAAGAGGGUGGGCCCCGCAGGUUCUGAUUCUUGAUCAUGGGGCAGUUGGCGGGUUUGUGACUCACUGUGGGUGGAACUCGACGUUGGAAGGGAUCGCUUCCGGGUUGCCGAUGGUGACGUGGCCGGUGGCGGCCGAGCAGUUUUACAACGAGAAGCUGGUGACCCAAGUGCUGAAAAUUGGUGUCGGAGUUGGUGCUCAGAAAUGGGUUAGGGUUGUGGGGGAUAGCGUGAAGAAGGAAGCUGUUGAGAAAGCUGUCAGGAGGAUUAUGGUGGGUGUGGAAGCACAAGAAAUGAGAAGCAGAGCUAGGGAACUUGCAGAGCAGGCAAAGAGGGCUAUUGAGAAAGGGGGAUCGUCACACUCUGAUUUGAAUGCUUUAAUUGAAGAGUUGAGUUCCCACUAGUUAGAAUUGGAGCACACAUUCAGAUGGACUUCACUUUCGGAAUAUUUCUGAUUGAUAAUGUUUUGUACAAAAUCUAAGUAAGAAUAGUCACUCAUAAUUCAUGAACGAAUGAUUAAUGUUGAGGAUAGUGACUAAAAGUUUAUUUGUUUUUCUUUUGACCCAGAUUAGACUUUCACGAUGCAUUUUAUUUAUCUCUAAGGGUCAUAUAUUUGCCCAGCCAAAGAAAAUAAUUCUAAGGGUCCUAUACUCUUUUCUUUAACUCUCCUUUAUUGAUCACACAUAGCUAGAUAAAAUGAAAUAUGGAUCUGAUUACAUAACAAAAUCUUCUUUAUAAUAUAAUUUACAGGUAGUUCAACGUAAAAUCCUAAACAUGGCAUUGGUUGGAUUGCACAAGGGAGAACUUUAGAUCAUAAACUAGCAAUUGGGCAUGCUCGAUGCCGUGAGUUUUAUAACUAUGUUAAACAUGUAGAAUAUAUUAAAAUCCAUUUACAUCCAUAUCAAACUGUAUUUACAUCCUUAUGUUCAAUAAGGAACAAAAGAUAGGUGUCUGUAGAAUACAUUACGUAGCAAAAAACUUGGAGAUUAAGAUGUUCAUAUAGAUGUAAUACACAUAAAAGUAUCUUUGUUCCACAUGUCCCAACUUUUCACAUUGUUCCUCAGGACUUCACUCUUCUUUCUUCUUCUUUGCCAAAGAGAUGUUCUUCUUUUACCAUUUGAUUUAUUCAGCUAUUCCUUGUCCGUUAAAAUAUCGUGUGAAUAUAAUUGAAACCUCAUACAACAGAUAAAUAACUAGGAAAGAAAGAAACACAUGCAUGAAUAAAAAAAGUUUUAAACCAUACCUAAUAUAUAAUUAAGCUCAGAGCAAUGAAAACAAAAUAAACAAAAUAUAAAUUAAAGAAGAAAAUUGGGGGAGCUAGUUUUGGACAUACACCAACCCGCAUUCUUACACUCUUCUUCCUGUUUUCUCGAAAUCUUUCCAGACAUCAACGAGAGGAGUUUGUGCAAUGAAAACAGAAUUUCUAUAAUACUAAUUGCUUCCAUCCAAUAAGGCAGCAUUAACUUACAAUGCUUGAUCCUCAAGUGGAGCAUUGUUAAAAAAUUCAUGCACUCGAGCAUCUUUUGAGUUUGAUUACUACUACUUAAGCAUUCUAAAAAUUGGCCCUAAACCCCAAACCCCAAACUCUAUUUAGACUCAUGAUGAGCAAAUUCAAUAUAUACUAAAACUCAAAUUAUAUUAUAUAUAUACUAAAAGAGAAAAACGCUUGAAACACUGUUCAUUUUCCAAUGUUCUUCCAUUUUUGCCCUUUCCAUGUUUCUGUGGACACUGUUUAUUCUACUGUGUAAUUCCGCUUUUGCCCCUGCUUUAGUCUUUGGUCUUUUAUUCCAUUUCUAGAUUCUUCCUUCCCACAUCGUUUUAGCAUCUCGACCCGUCUUUUCUCUAGAUGCUUCCCCCAUAGUUUCAGACUCUCGACCCACCUUUUCUCUGUCUGGCUCCUGCUAUCCCCGUCUCCCUCCUCACCUCCUUUCCCAAUCUCCCAAUUUAUUUUCAAUUUACACUUAAAUCUCAUAUGAAUCUCCUUGGUCUCAAAGAUGUCCUCUCUGAACCCAAAAAAGCUUUAGCCUUCCGACGACUCUGGUUGCCAUAAUCAAUCUUGGUCGUUGGCCGACAACCAGACUACAACAUCGUUUUGACUCACUCCAGCAUCCGCAGAUUCCAGCUUCAAACCCUUUCCGACCUUUUUUGCCAAAAUCGUUCUCACCGAUUUGUCAUCAGUUAAGAUCCUGAAGUUUUUAUUUGGCAUCCCAGACCUCAUCUUUCUUGCCACUGUGCCUCAAAACUUUCAUAUCGGUACAUCAACUCAACUCUCAUUUUGAUAGAACCCCACUUCAACCUUUACUCAAAUGCAAGAUAUACUAACAAGAACACUAAUACAAUCAAAUAUUCAUUCACCCUUUGCAUUUGCACAUAUCUCAGCUUAUAUAGCUGGUUGCAGGCUAAAGAAAUCCAACUCUACAAUUGACACCUGGCUAACUAAGUGAUGCCACUUGGCAUCCUAACAUUACCCUUCCCUUAGAAAUCAACAUUGUCCUCAAGGUUUAGCUUUGAAAAUUCCAGUAGCAUUUUUUUUUAUUAUGAUUUGGCAAUGGAUCCAACUACUAUAGGUUGAUCUAGAGACAAUGAGCGACAUAAGCCAGUAGUAUAUAGCAGCAGCAUUCCUAUUAAUUUGCUGCAGCAAUAUGCUUCCACAAGUAGUACGAGGACUGAUAUGUUUUUCCCUUGUAAACGAGCAACAACAUAUGUACUGAACUAAUAAAACCAUAAGUCUGCUUCCACCAAAAGUUCACUGCUGAAAACAUUAACUCCACAUUACACCCUGUCCAAAAUUGAGCAAUGAUAUUGACCAUACAAUCAGAAUUUCCAGCAUGCAUAAGGAUACCCAAUGCAACUAUGCACACCACUACUCCAUACAUUUCAAUACCCACUUAAAGAGCCUAACUUGUACCUCUACUCUCAAAAUAUCCAGCAAGCAAAUAAUUCCAAGAAAUAUUUGGUUUAGUAAUUUCACACAAAUCUGGGUCCAAGAAAAACCUCAAGGUAUUAUGCUCAUUGCCACACCUAGAGUCCAGAUGCAUAAUGACACUACUCACAUGAACUGAGCACCUACAUAGAAAGUCCACCCGUACACCAACACUAUGAAUUUGUUUCCUUUCUUUCUCAGCAAACAAGGCACCAAUCACAGCAGUAAUCACAAAAUUAAAAACCAUGCUUGUAGUAUUAUUUGGAAAUUUGUGUAUUAAUACCAGCGGCCUUAUCGGUUGACAAGAAUCUGCCCUCUCAAUUGGCAACCCCCAAGUUUUGCGCAACACAAUAUUUCCCACAAUCUAAUUUGUUUUACCAAUUGAGAUGAGUAUGAAACGUAAAGCCUCAUCUACAAUCCAAGGUGGAAUUGCAAAUAUAGCUUCUACAAUGGGCAUCAAAGUAGUACUAGCUUCCCAAAUCAAAUUAGUUCUCCAGAGAGUUAACAAUAACAAACCCAAAACACUAGACCCAUCGUCCAGUUUUGGCAUGUGCAUUGCACGAGUGAAGGCAACAUCCAAUUUCCUAUGCUCAUCAUAUUUGCUACUAAGAUGGUAAAGAAUACCAUGGUCACUCAUUGUCAUCAUUCUUCUACCAGUUAAUAUACCACCCUCAAGUAAAUGACUAGUAUAUGGCAAACCAAAAGAUCCAUGAACAUUCCUUUCAAAUGUUAGUUUCUUCUGCCCGUAAAAGCUAUGAACCAGAUAAUCCUCCCUAACAUUUGGGAAUUUCUUCUUCCCUGCCCCGCUCAAUUGAAUAUUUGAACUAUAAAAUUCUCCACCUACUGUUGAUAUAUAACCCUUGAGCUAAUAUCUUGGAGCUAAAGUUACAAAUUUUGAUUUUCCUUUUAUGUGCUUUAUCUUGCUGAUGUAAUCUGAGCCAUUGGAUCAUAGUCCAAAUGGUCUCUUCUCUAGCAUAGGAUCUAAGUGAUAUAACAAGACAAGUGGCAUCAUCUCAUAGGAUGAUAGCAAUGUAUGGUUGAGAUUGUGUUGUGUAUUGGUGAGUGAAGGAUCUCCCUUCCUCUACAUACAUAACGGUUACAAAUGUAUUUUUGGAUAUAGAGUGAAAUCGAAGAGACACAUUCAAUCUUCUUCUCUCUCAUUUCUCUGUUUUGUUCUUCAACCUCCAACAUAGAGAUCUCCAUUGAAAAACACAUAAAACACAAACUCUAAUAUGGCUUCAGAGCCAGGUUCGGUUAUCUAAACUGGGCGUAAAUCUGUGAAAAGAAAACUGGAAUUGAUUCGAGCUGCAAUCUAGCUCAUAUGACGAUCGAGGUGGUGUGAUUUCUUGAAUCCGAUGUCUAACAUGGCAGGAUCAGGCACUGCUGAGCUUCGCACACCAGUUUUCAAUGGAGAAAAUUAUGAGUUCUGGAGCAUUCGAAUGAAAACCAUUUUGAAAUCUCAUGGGUUAUGGGAUCUCGUUGAAAAUGGGUUCGAUGCUUCAGAUCCAAAGAAGGAGAAGAAGAAGAUAGAAGAGAUCGAGGUCACGGAAGUGGAGAAGCCAACGUUAGCUGAAAUCCUGAUGAAGGAUGCUCGUGCACUUGGGUUGAUCCAAGGUGCUGUCUCAGACCAAAUUUUCCCCAGAAUUGUGAACGAAGAGACCUCAAAGGGUGCUUGGGACAUUCUGAAGCAAGAGUUCAGAGGAGAUAAGCAAGUAAGGAGCGUAAAAUUGCAAGGUUUGCGUCGAGAAUUUGAAUAUACUCGCAUGAAAGAUAGUGAAUCCUUAUCUGUAUAUCUCACUAGAUUGUUUGAUAUAAUGAAUCAAAUGAAGAGUUAUGGUGAGGAUCUGUCUAGAGAGAAAGUUGUGCAAAAAUUGUUGAUUAGUUUGCCUAGAUCAUAUGAUCCUAUUUGCUCCGUAAUUGAACAUUCUAAGGACCUUGAAACUCUUGAGAUUCAAGAGGUAGUUGCUUCUCUGAAAAGUUUUGAACUCAGAUUGGAUAGACAUGCUGAAAAUUCUACUGAACGAGCUUUUGCUAGUCUAAAUGUUGGAGGUAAAAACUCUAAGGGAAUAGGUUAUUCUGGAAAUCAAAAGUUUCAGAAAAACUGGAAAUUCAAAGGAAAGAAGUGGGAUAAUAAGCCAUAUUUUGUUCAAAGACCAAAUGUCUCUAAUGAUAGAAACAAGACAUCUUGUAGACACUGUGAUAAAUUGCAUUAUGGCAAAUGUUGGUUUGAAGGGAAGCCAAAAUGCACAGGUUGUGGGAAACUUGGGCAUGUGAUCAGAGACUGCCAUGGAAACAAAAAUAUACAGAAUGUGAACUAUGUAAACCAUGUUGAAGAAACUGGUACCCUGUUCUAUGCAUGCAAUGCUAUGACAGAUGUGAAGGUGAAUCAUUCAUGGUACAUUGAUAGUGGUUGUAGUAACCACAUGACAGGUGAUGAAAGGUUACUAAUCAACAUCCAAAGGAAUCUGACUUCCAGGGUGAAGAUGGGAACUGGAGAGAUUGUUCAGGUUGCAGGAAAGGGGACUCUUGUUAUAGAGACCAAAUUGGGAAGAAAGCACAUUCAAGAAGUGAUGCUUGUUCCUGGACUUGAAGAGAAUCUGCUAAGUGUUGGACAGAUGAUGGAGCACGGGUACUAUCUAUUGUUUGGAGGAAAUAUUGUGAGUAUCUUCGAUGGUUGGUCAAUGGAUAAUCUUGUGGUUAGAGUGCAGAUGACAAACAACAGGUGUUUUCCUCUUACAAUGAUGCCAGCAAAUCAGAUAGCCUUGAAAGCAAGUGUGACACACUGUAUGCAGAUAUGGCAUAAGCGUUUGGGGCAUCUAAAUAACAGAAGCAUCAAAAUGCUUGAAGAUCAAGAAAUGGUUCAUGGAUUGCCUCAUUUGGAGAAAACCUCUGUUUGUGUGUGAAGGCUGCAUGCUAGGAAAGCAACACAGAGAGUCUUUUCCAUCAAAAUCAGCUUGGAGAGCAAAAUUUCCUUUGGAAUUGGUUCACACAGAUAUCUGUGGACCAAUGCAAACUGAAUCUAUCUCUGGAAAUAAGUACUUUCUGUUGUUCACUGAUGAUUGUACUAGGAUGUCUUGGGUAUAUUUUCUCAUAAACAAGUCAAGUGCAUUUGAUUGUUUCAAGAAGUUUAAAGCAAUGACAGAGUUGCAGUGUGGAUAUAAGGUGAAAUGUCUAAGGAGUGAUCGGGGUGGAGAGUUCUUAUCAACUGAAUUUGAUAGUUACUGCAAUGAGCUUGGAAUUCAAAGGCAAUUAACCAUGGCAUAUUCUCCUCAACAGAAUGGAGUAGCUGAGAGGAAGAAUAGGACUGUGGUGGAAAUGGCAAAGUCUAUGAUGCAUGAAAAUGGUCUUUCUUAUGCAUUUUGGGCAGAGGUUGUGAACACUGCAGUCUACAUACUUAAUAGAUGUCCCUCAAAGUCCCUCAAGAAGAUAACUCCAUUUGAAGCAUACACUGGUAGAAAACCAGGCAUUGCACACUUGAAGAUCUUUGGGUCACUAUGCUAUGUGCACAUUCCCUCAACACUAAGGCAUAAGCUUGAAGAAAAUAGUCGCAAGUGUAUUUUUGUAGGCUAUGGAAUCUGUGAAAAAGGGUACAGAGUGUUUGAUCCAAGUUCUAAUAAGAUCAUCCUGUCUAGAGAUGUACACUUUGAUGAGAAUGCUUCAUGGGAGUGGGAGAACACUGAUAAGAGUGAAAUACAAGUUCCCAUGAUUAUUGAGAAUCAAAUGGCAGAUUGUAGUGAAGGACAGAAUCAAGUGGAAGUAUGUGAACCAAGACAAUUCUUGGAUACAUCAACUCAAGUGGAGGAUGUUGUUGCAUCACUGUGAGAAUGUUUUCGAAAGUUCUCAAACAACUGAUCACACACCACAGAAAUGGAAAAGUGUAAAUGAGAUCAUGGCUCAGUGUAACAUGUGCAUUGUAGAACCUGAAAACUAUGAAGAUGCUAUUCUAGAUGAGUCAUGGGAAAAUGCAAUGAAAUCUGAGCUUGAAAUGAUUGAGAAGAACAACACAUGGGAGCUAGUUGAUAGACCAUUUAACAAGCCAAUCAUUGGUGUUAAGUGGGUCUAUAAAACCAAGUUGAACCUUGAUGGAUCCGUGCAGAAAAACAAGGCCAGACUGGUGGCAAAAGGUUAUUCCCAAAAGCCUGGGAUAGACUACAAUGAAACAUUCGCCUCGGUUGCAAGAUUAGAUACUAUUAGGACCUUGAUAGCACUUGCUGCACAGAAGGAAUGGAAUCUAUAUCAGUUGGAUGUAAAAUCUGCUUUUCUGAAUGGAACUUUGAAGGAGGAGGUUUAUGUUGAGCAGCCACAAGGUUUUGUGAAGGAGAGUGAAGAAACCAAGGUGUAUAAGUUGAAUAAGGCUCUGUAUGGGUUGAAGCAAGCUCCGAGAGCUUGGUAUGAUGAGAUAGAUUCCUAUUUCGGCAAGGCAGGUUUCAAGAAGAGUUCUAGUGAAGCAACACUUUAUGUCAAAACUAGUGAAGCUACAGGUAUCAUUAUUGUUUCACUCUAUGUGGACGAUAUUGUAUAUACUGGAAGUUGUCCAAAACUACUCGAAGAGUUCAAAAAUGAGCAUUAUGAGAUGACUGAUCUGGGGUUACUUCAUCAUUUUCUUGGCAUGGGAGUAGUGCAAACAGAUAAAAACAUUUGUAUCCACCAGAGAAAAUAUGCAAUGAAGCUUAUUGAGAAAUUUGGGAUGAAAGAUUGCAAAUCAGUGACAACACCACUGGCUGUGAAUGAGAAGUUAUGCAAGACAGAUGGUAGUGAAGCAGCAAAUGAAAGUGAAUAUAGACAAGUUGUAGGUAGCUUGUUAUACUUGACUGCUACAAGGCCGGAUAUAAUGUUUGCUUCUAGUUUUCUUGCUAGAUUCAUGCAUAACCCUAUAAAGAAACACAUGGGAACAGCCAAAAGGGUGUUGAGAUAUAUUCAGGGCACUCUUGAUUUUGGAAUUGAAUUUGUAAAAGGGAAGACAACUACUCUGAUAGGGUACUGUGACAGUGACUGGGCAGGAAGUGAGGAUGACAUGAGAAGCACCUCAGGAUAUGCAUUUACACUUGGAUUCGGUAUGUUUUCAUGGGCAUCAAUCAAACAAAACACGGUGGCAUUGUCCACUGCAGAAGCAAAAUAUGUCAGUGCUGCAGAAGCAACAUCACAUGCUAAAUGGCUAAGGUUUGUGCUUGAAGAUUUUGGUGAGGAGCAAGUGGAAGGCACACCAAUUCUGUGCGACAACACUUCAGCCAUAGCAAUGGCAAAGAAUCCAGUUCUACACCAGAGAACUAGGCACAUCAUUAGGAAAUUUCAUUUUAUCAGGGAAGCUAUCCAAACAAAGGAGAUUGAACUUGUCUACUGCAAAACAGAAGACCAGACUGCAGAUAUAUUGACCAAGGCUCUGUCAAAAGAUCGAUUUGUCUACCUAAGAGAUCUACUUGGUGUGAAAUCAGCUAAAGGGUUAGAAGGGAGUGUUGAUAUAUAACCCUUGAGCUAAUAUCUUGGAGCUAAAGUUACAAAUUUUGAUUUUCCUUUUAUGUGCUUUAUCUUGCUGAUGUAAUCUGAGCCAUUGGAUCAUAGUCCAAGUGGUCUCUUCUCUAGCAUAGGAUCUAAGUGAUAUAACAAGACAAGUGGCAUCAUCUCAUAGGAUGAUAGCAAUGUAUGGUGAGUGAAGGAUCUCCCUUCCUCUACAUACAUAACGGUUACAAAUGUAUUUUUGGAUAUAGAGUGCAAUCGAAGAGACACAUUCAAUCUUCUUCUCUCUCAUUUCUCUGUUUUGUUCUUCAACCUCCAACAUAGAGAUCUCCAUUGAAAAACACAUAAAACACAAACUCUAAUACCUACAACCUCAAAUAUUCCAUCUCGGCUACAUUCAAUAGAAUCUCCAGAUGCAUUCAUACAAGAAAAAUGAAUAUUCAGAGUAACCAUAUACCUGAAUUUUGAGCCUCCACCCUUAUCUCGAAUACCCUUGCAAUAGCACAUGUCAAAAUUGACAACAACAAGAUGAUUUGAGUCAGGAAUUUCAUCAAACACGUUGAGAGCAAGACGAGUUUUCUCAGCAGGUACAAUAAAGGGGUUAGCUUCCUCCAAAAAAUUCCUCUUUUUCGCAUUAAGAACAAAACCCAACUCAUAAAUUGCCAGAAAAUCCAUUGAGUUGAAUUAAGAGAGACAAAUAGUUCCAUCUUUGUUAUAUGCAGUAGCAUUUUCAGAUUGUUUUGUACAAGAAGAUAUGAGGAUUGUACUAAUCUUGUACCUGAAUAUUCUCGAAUGGUCCUUCCAAAUCUUGUCUUUUGCCAAACCACCACCUUUAUCAUGAAUUCCUUUAUGGUAGUGGAAUUGAAGAAUAAGUACAACACCAGUAGAAGCAUCAUCUUGCACCAAAAUGGUAUCAACUUUUCCUCUAGUGUCAGAAAUCGGCAUAUGAUAGCCCAACUGAAAAUCACAAUCUAUUGAUUGUGACCUUCAUCAAACACCUGGAAUGUAGGUGAAUCAAUUUUCACGAACCUAUCAUCAGAAACAGGAAUUGUGAAAAUGAAAUCCUGGACCACGUCGUUCUUGCAACUAGAUUCACGAAUAGAUGAAGGCGCCAUCCCAAACUGAAUGAAUUUAUGUCCAAAAGAAGUAGCCAAGCCAUUACGAAAUGUAGAACCCAGAACAUAAGCUUGAACCUUGGAUUUCCUGCAAUUUGAAUCAAGAACUGGAGAAGCUAUUACAUAAUCUUCAACUUUCUUGUUGAAUAAAGAAACCAACUCCUUUGCGGUGCCUGCCUUGCGAUUAGAAUCAAGAAAUGGAGGAAUUUUCACAUAAUCUUUAGCUUCCCUGUCGAACAAAUUGAAAACCUCUUCGUCCUCCACAACCAAAGCUUUCCAAAAAAACCCACAACUUUCUUCAAAUUUGGAAUUGGAACAAAAUAUUGCAGAACCAUCGUCGUCGUGUUUGUCGUAGUCGCGAACUUUCUUGAAUCUCUUCAAUAUGGGUCGUAAACAAGGACGAGUCUUGGGCUUGUAACUUUGAUGAAAUUGAGAGAGUUGAUUCACUCUCUCUUUGGCAUGAAUUUUUUUCCUCAUGGAAGGAUUGAAGCUUGAGAACGACUUGGUUCGAUUUCUCAAAAGAGAUAGGAGAUGCCAUUUUGAUGAACAGCGGAUGUGAACCCCUAUCGCAUUUGGCCACAAAAUCAUGGUAUAGUUUCUCGAAUCGAGCAUCAGAAGAAUCUUGACGAGCUUCCAUGGCGUCAAAUCGCUAAAUUAGCACAUUGAGAGUGUCAUUAAUCGCAGCAAGAUGGUUAUGAAAUUCCAUGGCUUCCUUCGUUGACGCACGAUUCAAUCGGCAAAAGAGAAGGGAUUGAGGAAUCAAGACUGGCUUGAUACCAAUGAUAGAACCCCACUUCAACCUUUACUCAAAUGCAAGAUAUACUAACAAGAACACUAAUACAAUCAAAUAUUCAUUCACCCUUUGCAUCUGCACAUAUCUCAACUUAUAUAGCUAGUUGCAGGCUAAAAAAAUCCAACUCAAUAAUUGACACCUGACUAACUAAGUAAUGCCACUUGCAUCCUAACACAUUUAUUUCAACAGCUCAACUCUCUUUCUAUUUCAAACCUAAAGAUUGAUUAUUUUCCUUUUUUUUUCUCUGUUUUUAUUUUCCAGGGAAAAAACACCAUCUUUGCCGAAAAAGUUUGAAUUUUUCUCGGGAAUUCUCACCCAUCCCUGAGAUUUUCUUUGGGGGUUUUGGUUCUCGGGUUGCGAAUUUAAAAGGGUUUUGUCUUUAAAAGGAGAUGGAUAUCGGUGGUGAUGAUCGGUGUUCAUUGUUGUGUGGAUGAUCCCAGUGGAGCUUUGGUUUUCAGCUUUGGUGAUUUCUGCGUGAAUUUUUGGGGAUUUGGUUUGGGUUUCUGGGUAAGCAACUGUCACUCUAUUCAACUUAAAUUUAGUUCACUUUUUUUUUCCCCUUAAAUUUGUUUGAUGGCAUGAUUGUUUGAUCCUUUUACUAAAAUAGUCAUCAAUAAAUGUUGGAAUUUUUAGUAGUUUUGAUUUCUUUUCAAUUUUUAUUUUAUUUUAUUUUCAAGCCCUGAGUUUUGUAAGAACCGUCUACCCUGUGCAUACACUAGAUACUCCUAACAUUUCAAAUAAACUACCAGUGAGUUCUAUAACUUUACUAAUAUUUAUUUGCAACACAAGUUAAAUUGUUGGUUUUCUGUUUGUCAAUGCGUUAGCUUUUCUACUCUCUACCUUGCAUUAGAGGUUGCCAUAUCAGGUGAGUUCAAGUUCUACUUAGUACACAAGGUUGUUUUUAACAAAGUCUCUAAUUUGUGUGCUCUUCAUCAUGUCUUUUAUUUUGGUGGCAGUUAGGUGUCAUUAAUAUGAAGUGUGAGCUAGUUAAUGUAGAUGGCGUUUAUGAUUGAUUGCUGGUGGGGAAUAGUAUAGGGACAUGCUCCACAGAAGUAUAAUUGGAAUGGAUAAAAUAGGCUCUUUCAGAUAGUGUGUGAGCUUAGACUAAAGUGACAUGUCUGUUUUAUAUAAAUUCGUUUUUUCAAUUUGCAGAAGCUUUUCCCUCUCAUUGGGCAUAUAAACAACAUGUGUGGUUAAUUGUUUUGCCAUCUUUGUGGUCAUUUUUAUUCUUUCUAUGCAUGUUUUUGGUAGCAAUUUAACAACUGAUUGUAGAAACUUUUGUCUUUGUAUGUUGAUGCUUCUUAAUAGUGGUGGUGCUGUGCAUGUUCUUGGUUAAAUUAAUCGAGUACAUCCGUAAUUUGGAAUAGUUCUUUUCUAGAUUGGCAAGAAUUUUUCCAGUCAAGGAGAUUGUUGGAUACUUCUGCUAAUUGGAUCAAUGGAAGCGAUAACCAGUGAUUGGGGGUAUCUUUUGGCAGGAUUACAAGGACUUUGUUGCGGAUGGGAUUCAAACAGAACCUUUCAACUUGAACGAGGAAAGGGAAUGCAGAUGGAAAGUUUAUUAAAUAUGCCAUUAAAAAUGAAGUCAAGUUAAACAUGUUUAUCAUUUUUGGCAAUAAGCAUGUUCAUCAUUCAUGGGUAGUUAAUGCUAGAGUGUUUAUUGUACAAUUAGGUUCUUGGAGUUUACUGAUGAUUUGCUAUGCGUGUAGGUCAUAAAAUAUUUUUUAUACUGAAGCUUUCAUCUCUUUGAUUAAAAUCAGUUGAAUUAAGUAAUUCAGUCGAUUACUUAAUUCAUGAAAAGAGACAACCAAAAAACAACGUGGAGGUGGAGUCAAAUGCAAAAUCAUAGAAUCAGAAAUUAAGGUAAUCUUUAUACAUUUCGUUUGAUUUGUUUGAAUAGGAUGAUUUAUAACUGUUUCGGUAUUAUGUUUCUUCGUAUGCAAAUUACCAUAUGUAUUUGAGAGCACAGCUGAUGUAAGUUCUCUCUUUAUGCCUCUAUCUCUCUGUGCAUCGAUCUGUUUUCUAUCAAUUUUAUUGUUUUGUAUGCAUUAUGUUUAUCCUGAACCAAAGUUUCCUAAUCUUUUAUUUAUGAGUGUGUGCUGCUCGGUCUCCAAUGAUUAUUUAUAUUUCCGAGGGUAUAAUGGGAGUAAAAAUCCAUUCAACCUCCACCAAAUUGUUGGGAAUCCAAUUCAGAUGCUUAAGUGAUUUUUUUAAGGUUUGAAAUCGAAAAGUAGAGUGCAAAUUUCGUUCGUGAUGAAAAACCUACAGGAACAUUAGUUCUUAGCAUAUGUGAAACAUGUGUGAAUUUUAAUCACAAAGUGCAGUUGUACUCGAGACUGAGAGAGUGGCAUUUAAUUGUUCUCCUAUGGGAUGUGGUUGAUCUUACCCUUUAUAUGUUUAAUUUUAUAUAUACUUAGUUGAGUUAUUUUUUCCUUUUGGGAUUCAGGCCCAGACACUAUUGAUCCCUCAAAUUUUUCGCCAUGCAGCAAAAGGUGGUGACUCACGCAAAUAGCUGACUCCUUUUCAAUAGAAAGCAAUAGCCAAACUAAACCAGCUGGGAAAUAACGUUCACCAAUCACUGUCUUGGCACAUUUACUUAAGUGAGUACAUUGUUAUUCAUUCUGGCCGUCUUUCCAAGAUCAAGCCCCUUGCUCAAUUGGAUAAAGUUUGCAUCCUCAGUUGUGCCGUAUCGACAGGUUUGGAUUUUUGGGUGCCCCUCUCAUGUAGCAAAACAAAAAAUUAUCUUCAGUUGCUGUUAUUGGCCUUGCAGUAAGUUUGGACAAACUUUGUUGAUCCCAAAUUCUUUGUUCUAAUAAAUUGCAUUUAUUUUCUCUUCCGUAUUCAUAUUGAUACAUGCAUGAUCUUGGCUAUUGAAGGUGCAAGAUUUCUGGGGCGCCACUAAGUAUUGGGGUGGAGUCGGUGGACUUGAAUCCCAAGAGGUUUGACAAAGGUAUUUAUAAUUUUUUCCCAUUUUGAUUUACCAUGGUUUAACAGUAGUUUAGUGGGAAACCUAGAAAUAGAUUUUUGCUUAUAACAUUCUUUCCUUGGUGAUAACUAAGAAAUUCAGAGUAAAUGGAUUUGUGAAUUCGAAUGACAAUGACAAACCAGUGCAUGAGAUGAAAAUGAUUCGCUGUUCUUAUUAUCUGUGGGACAUGAAGUUCGUCUCAAAUUGUAGCUUCCUCGGUUUCUCAAAUCUCAACGAUCAAUUUGCAGUGUCCCUCAAGCGGUUUCUCUCAAACUCUUACGAUUUGCAUUUUGCUUCUCUCCCUACACUCUCAUCAGCACUAUCACUGCUCUCUCAAAUGAGCACUACAAGUUUAAGCCUAAUGCUGGUAUGUGAUUUCCACUCCAUCUCUUCCUUUUUUUUUUUUUUUUAAGGGUAAUUUUCAACCCUUUUGUACAAUCAGGUAAUUCUCCAUAUAAUUGAAUAAUACUGUUUUUUUUUCUCUCUCUCUCUCUCUCUCUUUUUUAGCUCCAUCAGUUCAUUUCCCUUGACAUCUGACUUAAGUAAAUGGGAAAUCAUUAAUUGGUAUGGAUCAAGAUAUAUUUCUUUUGUGUUUUUGGACAAUUUAAAGGGAUAUGCAAAUAGAUGGGAACAGUAGAAUUCAUUUUGAUAAAAAAAAGAAGAGAAAAUAACCUUGCUGGUUUAUACUUCUUGGUUGUUUGAUGAAGUUUGCACUGAGUUACAUAGAUUGACAAAUUUAGAUUUUUAUAUUGAAUUUUUACUGAUUCUUAUUCGUAAUAUAUAGCAAGAGAUAUCUUGGGCAAAGCAAAAAGAAUAUGCACCAAUUCAACAACACGAUGACCACGAAAAAAGAUGGUCAUUCCCAAACAAGCCAGACCAGAGAUUGAACAAGAAAAAUCAUAAACACAGAGCAGAUGGUUGUGAAUCCUUUGAUUGGUAAGAAAUUGUGUGUUGUUCAUGUGCAUUCUUCAUUGUUUGCACUUUCAAUUUAAGAGGAUGCAAUACAUUUUCAACGUUACCAUAUCGUUUCAGAUAAUCAAGGGAGGAUUUCCAUGAUGUGUUAUUAGGGUAGUUCAAGUGCAACAAUUUUGUGCCAGACAUUAGUUUGAAACAUUGAUAUUUUUCAGUUCGUUGACUGCCUUCACAUAUCUCUUCCAUUUUAAAUGAUUGAGAGCUUAAUAUAUUUGUGUUUAUACAAAAAUAAAAAAAUGGUUAUAAUUGGAAUAUUGCGCUUAAUCUUCUUUUGGUAUUUGUUUGAUUUUCUUUUGUUGGCUGUGUUUUGUAGCUCAUCAGAAACAGUAAGUAAAAGCUAUAACCAAAGGCUUAUGUAUUUUUUUCAAAUGGUUUUCAUCUAUUGUAGGUAAACGGGAGCUACUGUGCUCUUUAUGCAGUAAGGUUUACCAUCAGCUCUAGAUAUGAGCAUCAUGGCAAAGUUGAAGUAUGUGUAAAUGGCAAGAGUUUAGGCCUGAACUGGAAGUUGUGGCGAGUGUAACUAUAUUGGGACAUGUAAUGAGAAGAAAUGUUUAAGUAGCUGUGGGGAGGUAAUAAACAUGUUUACUUCUGGCCUAUGCUUACUUUAAGGUAAUUGCCAAACCGGUUAAUUACACACGAAGCUAAAAACUUUUGGCCAACUAACCUUAUCUUAAUGCUUUAAUACACUACUUUGUUUCCAAUCCUGCUUAAAAUUGAAGAAUGACUAUUCUUGCAGAGUUGUGUUGGACAAAACAACUAUCCUCGGGGUAGCUGUAGCACCUGAGAAUUUUGAAGGUGAUCUGAUCGGAGGCCAUUUGCAACUAAUGAUUCUCAAUUUCUCGAGUACACCAGUAAAGGUCCUCUAUCUUCAUUUCUCAUUGACAUUUUUUCUCCUUGAUAACAUAGUUCACAAGGCUUUUAGCCUGUUAUUAUGAUUACUGUUAAACAAUUAUUCUUAGAGAGAGAGAGAGAGAGAGAGACGGAUAUACCAACUGGUGCAUUUUGAAGGAGUACUAGAACAUCAUUAUUGAAAUUAGAUGACAGUGUUGGGUUCAUGGAUUUUGGAUUCGGCAUUCUCUGAAAUUAGCCAAGGAGUGGAAAUUUUGAUUGGUUUGAUUGGUAAUUUGGUAUGUUCUUUAAAUUCUAUAAUUAUGAGAGAAACAGAAAUUAUCGUAUUAUAUAUUUUAUCAGCAUUUAACAUUGGUGAUUGUGAACUAUCUUUGUAUGUUUAUCAAUUUAUUCUUUAUGAUUUUUAGUUUCCUAAAUGAAGUUUGACAUGUAUGAAAUUUGACAAUUGAUCUUCUUUUGCAUUCUUGCAUUUGAACUGCAAGUUAGUUUAUGCUAAAUGUUGUUUAAUAAUUUAGAGAAAAGGUUUCAAUUGGUUGUCAUGCAAUGCAGCUGCAAAUUUGAUGAUUUAGAAUUAGCUUAUCCAUCUUCCAUACGAUUUCUAAUCCCGCAGCAACGCGCGAGCAGUAAUUUCUAGUAUAACUGAAACAUUGUUCAUAAGUAGUGUGUUUCUUUUUUUGCCCCUGUUAGGUUUUUGUUAUUACAGGUAUGCCAUUGUCUUACAAACUAUAUAUGUUGAUUCUUUUUUGUAUUUUUUCUUUCUUCUCUCUCUCACUCCUCUUCGUGACUCUGCUAGCGACGACAGCGAGUUGUUGUCGUCCGAACGUCAGUGAGUCGGACCUCAUCGUUACGGCUAGUCUCAUCUCAGGAACAAGAAACAGUUGUUGCAUGCCUCAAAUUGUUACUGUUUCGAUGAGGGUUUUCGAACUUAACCCCAAUUGUAUUUCGAUCUCUCUCUUUCUGCAUUUUCGAUAGGUUACUAUUUUUCACGUUCUAUUGAUUAUGAAUUCUGAUGUUUUGCGUUCAAUUUGGGUUUUUGGAAUUUUGGAAUUUUGAAUUUGUACCUUAUUUUCCAAAAUUAUUCCCUAAUUUCACAUUUUUCAUUUUGUACAGCCGUGGGUGAGACACAUAAUUCUACAACCUCUUCAAGGUGUACACGCAGCUAGGAAAAUUUCAGCGAGAAAAAUCCCCAAAAACUCCUCCUCCUGGUCUGUCAUUGAUAUCUCAGCUCUAUCUCUCUCAAUCUUGAGGUACCUGAUGUUGGCUUCCGUUUUCAGUCUGAAAUAUAUAAUGAUUUAUUUGAGUUUGCUGGGAUUUAUUCAAUUCAACCGGGGUGGGUUUUUCAGUUGUUUGGAUUUUUUUUUAUUAAUUUAGGUUUCUGGGUUUUUUUUUGUUGGUAUGGUUCAUACGGAAUGAAAAAUUUAUGCGUUCUUUUGAUUUCGAGGCAUGCAUCAAGCGUCCAUCUUUUUUUUUAUUUUUUUUAUGAAAUCAUGUUCAGUGAACUUAUUUUCUAGGGGAUUGAAUUACCCAGAUUACCCAUAUAUAUAUAUAUAUAUUAGCCAGUCCUUAUGACCCAUAUUCAUCAAUGCCAUCACCUUCAACCCCAAAAACACCUAGCUUUGCUAAAUCAUCCCCUUAUGUCAAGAAACAUCCUAUGAAACAACUUUUUUCUAUCCCUCAUAAUAUCAAUAAACGGCAAUCGCCAAACAAAAUAGUAAACGACUAAAAUAUUUAACAACCUUGGAAAGGUUUAAUAAGUCUAAGAAAGAAAUCACGGUUAAAGAUCUUCAAGUUAAAGUGAAUAAAAUAAAAGAUGAAAUUAAAUUUUUAAAAUCAGAAAAUAUAGAAGUUCGUACUCAUCUUAGUGAAAUCCAAACCCAUUCAUUAAUAAAUCCCCAAAAAGAAGAACUUGCUAGUUCUUCCUCCAGUUCUGAGUCAGGAUCUCAAUCAACUGAGAACCUAGUUUUAAGUCUUUUACAUAAGAUAAGAAUUCAGAAAUGGUAUUCUAAAAUUACAAUAGUAAUAGAAGAUUUUCAUUUGGAAACAAUUGUUUUGAUUGAUUCCGGCGCAGAUUUGAAUUGUAUUCAAGAAGGGUUAAUACCUACUAAAUAUUUUCAUAAAUCAACUGAAAUACUUAGUGCUGCUAAUCAAUCUCCUAUGCAUUUGAAAUACGAAAUACCUAAAGCGCAUGUUUGCCAAAAUAAUGUUUGUUUUAAAACCCCAUUUGUUUUGAUCAAAUAUUUCUGAUUCAAUUAUAUUAGGACUUCCAUUUUUAGCACUUAUAUAUCCUUUUAAAGUUUAUCAUAAUAAAAUUACCACUAGAGUCUUAGGACAGAAGGUCACAUUUGAGUUCUGCCUGGAAACAGACCUUAAAAAACUAAGACAUUUACAGAAAAACAAUAUUUCAAAAACUAUUAGUAUUAUUACUAAUAAGUCACAACAUAUUAAUUUCUUAAAAGAAGAAAUUAAUCACAAAAGAAUUAAAGAACAGCUAACAAAUAAGUCUUUGUUAGAAACUAUUAAUAAUUUUCAAAAGAAACUUAUUAAUGAAGUAUGUUCUGAUAUCCCCAAUGCUUUUUGGCACCGAAAACAACAUAUUGUUAAACUUCCUUAUAUGAAGGAAUUUAGUGAGUCUAAAAUACCUACUAAGGCUAAACCAAUACAAAUGAGUCAAGAAGUCAUGGAAUUCUGCAAAACAGAAAUCCAAGAACUUCUUAAUAAAGGUAUCAUUAGGAAAAGUAAGUCACCAUGGUCAUGCCCUGCAUUUUAUGUUCAGAAAAAUGCAGAAUUAGAAAGAUGAACUCCCAGAUUAGUUAUUAAUUACAAACCUUUGAAUGAAGUCUUGGAAUGGAUUAGGUAUCCAAUCCCCAACAAAAGAGAUUUAAUCAAAAGGCUUUCUCAAGCAGUUAUUUUUUCAAAAUUUGAUAUGAAAUCAGGCUUUUAUAAAUGAAUCUGAUAAAUACAAAACAGCUUUUGUAACUCCUUUUGGACACUAUGAAUGGAAUGUAAUGCCUUUCGGCUUGAAAAAUGCACCAAGUAAAUUUCAAAAUAUUAUGAAUGAAAUUUUUAAUCAGUAUAGUCAUUUUUUGAUUGUUUACAUUGAUGAUGUGCUUAUUUAUUCAAAGUCUAUAGAUGAACACUGGAAACAUUUGCAUUUGUUUGCUAGAAUAAUUAAGUCCAAUGGAUUAGUUGUUUCUGCUGUUGGAACCUUAUUGGACUCUAAACUUAUCUCAUUCGGGUUUUGUGUUUAGUGAAAACUGAGAACAGUUAGAGUUAAUAGGUAAACAAACUUCUUUCCUUUAAAGUAGGACAUUAAGGGUUAAACGUGUUGGUGAGUGGAUAUCCCACGUUGGAAUGUAAAUGAGCGUGCAGUUUUGCCAAGCAGUUUCUGUGAUAGGUGGAAACGGUUGUGGUUACACGUUUAUAAAAGGACAAGUCCCUGCUCAAGAGGAACACGUUCAUAUAUCAGAAAAUCUAGCCCUAUUCUAGAAAGAACAUCAGGUCCUCCUUGAGUAGAAGAUUUCCUUUUCUUCCCUGCGAUCAAUGGCUUCACAAGGUCAGAACUACAAUCACAGUAUUUGAUGCAUGUUCGUAAUCUAUGUUUGCGGCUAUAUUAAAACUCCAACAUUUGGUAUCAGAGCGUAUAAUAGCUCUUCAUAGAUUCUUUUAUGCGUAUAAGGAAGUUUGCUUAAUUGAUUUAUUAGUCUUUUCGCGUUUUCCUGAUGAUUUGGUUUCUUGAGUAUCACAAGUACAGGAAUGGAUCUUGCGCUAAGAUGAUUUAAGUUCCAACCUUAACAUCAUUGAAGGAUACAUGCUGAUAAAACCAUUUAAAACAAAUGUUUGUAAAGCUUUACCAAAGUGAAGUUUUUUUUUUUUUAAGAAAUUUUGUUUAUAAGGACGGUGGCAUGGUUGUGUUUUUAUAAGUCAUGACAUGAUAACGUACUACUCCAAAGAGAAGAGGGUUAACUGGUUGGAUUUGUGAAUCAGUACAUAGGUUUUUAAUGAAUGUUUGAGCCAACUAUUUUCUUAUCCAAAGAUUUGAAAUAUGUGUUGUAACUUAAGUAUUUGUUAAAAGGGCUAUGUAAUCAGGAUGCAUAUGGUUUUAUGUGUAUAAAAAAAAAAAAAAAAACUGCAGCAAUGUAUCUUGCCCAAAGGUGUUGCAUAUACUGUGAUAGUUGUAACAUUGUCUACAAUGUUGUUUAACUUUUAUUUGGUUUGACAGUGAAUGCGAAUGCACUGAGCUUUUCCUCCAUUGAACCACUUAACGGAGGGAAUUUCAAAAAGUGGAGACAGGAUGUAGAGAUCGUGCUUGGCUUGAUGGACUAUGACCUUGCACUGAGGGAGGAUGAACCACCUGCUGUGACAGCGAACAGCACUACAGAGCAAAGAUUGAAGUCUGAGAAAUGGGAGAAGUCAAACCGAAUGGCUCUCAUGGUCAUGAAAAGGUCCAUCAGUGAGGCUGUGAGAGGUGGCAUACCAUCCUGUGACAAAGCUAAAGCUUUUCUUGAAGCUGUUGGAGCAAAAUUCAAGAUGUCCGAGAAAGGAGAGAUGGCGAACCUGAUGACCACACUGACUUCUCAGAAGUUCGAUGGCAAAACGAGUGUCCGGGAGCAUAUACUGAAAAUGGUGGAGGCUGCCGCCAAGCUCAAGGAUCUGGAGGUACCAAUUGAUGAUUCCUUUGUUGUUCACAUGGCUCUCUCAUCCCUUCCUGAGUCAUUUGAACAGCUUAAGGUGUCAUACAAUACUCAAAAGGAGAAAUGGAGUCUGGAUGAGAUGAUUUCUAUCUGUGCACAAGAGGAGAGCAGGCUGAAUCGUGCAAAAGGUGCAGUGGUGAACCUUGUUGACUAUAAUGCAAGUAAGAAUCCUAUGGUAAAUGCUGGUAAGCAGACUAAGCCUUUUAAUUCCUCCACUACUACUGCCAAUGUUGCUUCUUCCUCUAGAGGACCUCAAAACUUUAGGCCAAAUUUGGAGAAUGUGAAAUGCUAUUUUUGCAAACAAUAUGGACACUUGAAAAGGGACUGCGAGAAACGUAAAAAAUGGGCAGUGAAGAAAGGAAAAGGUACAAAUAUUUUCAAUGUUUUUGUUUGUUUUCAAACUUUACUUGUUGAAGCCCCUCCAAAUACUUGGUGGUUUGACACUGGUUGUUCGGUGCAUAUUACCAAUUCCUUGCAGGGAUUUUCAAGAAAAAUGUCAACAAGUAAUGAAGUCUUUGAAGUGCAUGUGGGCAAUGGGAAUAAAGUGGCUGUGGAAGCAAUAGGCAACCUCAAGCUCAAGUUGUCGUCAAGCUUUAUUUUAGAACUUUCAAAUGUACUUUAUGUUCCUACUUUAACUAGGUCUUUAAUUUCUGCUUCAAGACUUGUAAAAGACGGUUUUGCUUUCGUUGGUGAUGAUGAAAGCAUAAGGAUCUUUAUGAAAAAUAAUUUGAGUCAAUUGCUGGGCGUUUGCUUUUUAGACAAUGAUUUAUGGAAAUUAGAUUGUGUUGUCAUGAAUGAUUUGAGUUGUUACACUCUAGACUCUUCUGUUCGAAUGAAAAGGCCCUUAUCAAAUGAUCUUUCUUCCAUGCUUUGGCAUAGAAGGUUAGGUCAUAUUUCAAAGAAAAGACUGCAGCGUUUGGUGCAUGAAAAUAUUUUGCCAGCCUUGGAUUUUAAUGACUUGCAUGAGUGUGUGUGGAUUGUUACAAAGGCAAGUUAACUAAAACCAAGAAAAAGGACGCAACAAGAAGUCAAAAACUGUUAGAAAUAAUUCAUUCGGAUGUUUGUGGUCCUUUUCCAGUUAAAACAAUCUGUGGAAAUAUUUAUUUUGUGACUUUCAUUGAUGAUUUUUCAAGGUAUGGAAGUGUCUUUCUAAUUUCAGAAAAAUCACAAGUCCCAAAUUGUUUUAAAAUUUUUAAAACAGAAGUAGAGAACCAAUUAAACACUACAAUUAAGGUUUUGAGAUCGGAUAGAGGAGGAGAAUACUUUGGCAGGUUCACCGAGGCUGGGCAACAAAAGGGACCGCUGGCUAUGUAUCUAGAAGAGUGUGGCAUCCAAGCUCAGUACACCACACCUGGGACGCCUGAUCAAAACGGUGUGGCGGAGAGGAGGAAUAGGACAUUGAUAGAGAUGACAAGAAGCAUGAUGAGCAGGUCAGUUCUACCUCAGUUUCUUUGGGGAGAAGCAUUAAAGAUGGCAAACUAUAUAGUGAAUCGUGUCCCUAGCAAAUCAGUGAGUAAGACACCCUUUGAACUUUGGACUUCGAGGAAACCUAGCAUCAAUCAUCUACAUGUUUGGGGUUGUAGGGCAGAAGCAAGAAUGUAUAAUCCACAUGAAAAGAAACUUGAUUCAAGAACAGUGAGUUGUCACUUUAUUGGCUUUCCUGAGAGGUCUAAAGGAUACAAGUUUUAUGCUUCACACUUGCAGACUAGGGUUUUUGAGACUAACAAUGCAAAAGUUCAUCGAGGAAGAAGUAAAUGGUGAUGAAAAUGCAAGCAGUUUUGUUUUUCAGGAUCUUGGGAAUCCCACUGAUGUGUCGAGCAAUAAUGAUGAAGGGAGUCAAAGCCUUGGAGAAACUAUAGUUUUUGAAACUAGUUUCUCGCAGCCAUCACGUGAAAAUAAUGCUGCAGAGGGUUAUCAAAUAGAUGAACCACAACAAGAUGGACCAAUAGUUGAACCUAAUGCUAAUGAGUUACUAAUUGCCUUGGAAGCACCAAGAAGAGCCUCACAAAGAAUUCGCAGAUCGGCUAUUCCAGAAGAUUAUAUCACUUACUUUUGUGAAGUUGAGCAUGAUGAAGGUAUAAUGACUGAUCCAGCAACUUUCAUGCAUGCAAUUAAAAGUGAAAACUCUUUAUCAUGGCAGCGAGCAAUGGAAGAGGAGAUAAGGUCUAUGCAUUCUAAUCAGGUGUGGACCCUCGUAGAGAAGACAGAAUCUAUGAUACCCAUUGGAUGCAAAUGGGUGUACAAAACUAAGAGAGAUUCGAAAGGGAAGGUUGAAAGGUUCAAAGCGAGAUUGGUGGCUAAAGGCUUCACUCAAAGGGAAGGGGUAGACUAUAAUGAAACAUUUUCUCCCGUGUCGUCCAAGGAUUCCUUGCGGAUAAUCUUAGCACUCGUGGCACACUUUGACUUGGAACUACACCAAAUGGACGUCAAAACGGCAUUUCCAAAAAUGACUUGGAGAGGAAAACCAUGUUGAACAAACCCUAUGCUUCAUUGGUAGGAAGCUUGAUGUAUGCUCAGGUUUGUACAAGACCUGACUUAGCUUACUCAAUUAGUGUACUUGGGAGGUAUCAAUCAAAUCCUGGAGAACAACAUUGGGUGGCAGCUAAGAAGGUAAUGAGAUAUUUGCAAAGAACAAAAUCACACAUGCUUGUGUAUGGAAAGAGUGAAAACCUAGAGGUGGUAGGGUACUCUGAUUCGGAUUUUGCAGGCUGCACAGAUGACAGAAGGUCCACAAGUGGUUAUCUGUUCUUCAUAGCUGGAGGAGCAAUCUCGUGGAGAAGUGCAAAACAGAAGACGCUUGCGACAUCGACCAUGCAAGCUGAAUAUAUUGCUGUUUUUGAAGCCAAACAGAAAGCACUGUGGAUCAAGGAUUUAGUCAGUCUAAUGGGAAUCGUGGACAGUAUUUCAAGACCAAUUGUUAUACACUGCGAUAACAAAGCUGCUGUAUUCAUCUCUAAGAACAACAAGCAGUCUUCUGCAAAUAGACUGAUGGACAUCAAAUAUCGAUCUGUCAGAGAGGAUGUCAAAAGUGGUUUGGUGGUAAUUGAGCAUAUUGACACUGGUUUGAUGAUAGCAGAUCCCCUCACCAAACCAUUACCAGUUGCAGUGUUCAAGCAGCAUGUUGCAAAAAUGGGGGUACUGGAGUCUUUUGAUUCCGUGACUAAGUGGGAGUAAAACUUAGUCUUGUCUUAUUUGCUUUGAAGUUGUUUAUUGCAAUAGAUGAAUUCUAAAUUUAUUUCAUGUACUGCUUUUGAUUUGAGCUGGUAAUCAUUAAUGAGACUUGGCUGAAAAGCUAUGAUCAUAUAAGUGAUAUUUCUGCAUUAAAGCUUGAUUGUUUUAAAAGCUUUUCAGGUGGCUAUUUGAUCCUACUUUUCAGCAUGCAGAAAAGUUGAAGUUGGAUUAUUGCUAACUAAGGCAACGUUAAGGUAAUGGGAAAAAUAGUGGGAGCAUACAGUAAAGCUCUCUUAUAGCUAACAUGUUUAAGCAUCAUACGUGAAUAAUUGAAUGUUAUAGUGAUUUCAGAGUGGCUGCACCAUUUUGUGCAAACUUUUCUGAAGUUCUAUGACUUGAGUCAUUCAUGGUGGAUGUGUGAGGAUGUGUUUAUUUAUUUAUUAACUCAUGUGAUCACUAAGGAACUGUUGUCAGUAGAAACAUUGCUCAAAACAAAGACGAUGAGUUUAGGUCCAAGUGGGAGAAUGUUGGAACCUUAUUGGACUCUAAACUUAUCUCAUUCGGGUUUUGUGUUUAGUGAAAACUGAGAACAGUUAGAGUUAAUAGGUAAACAAACUUCUUUCCUUUAAAGUAGGACAUUAAGGGUUAAACGUGUUGGUGAGUGGAUAUCCCACGUUGGAAUGUAAAUGAGCGUGCAGUUUUGCCAAGCAGUUUCUGUGAUAGGUGGAAACGGUUGUGGUUACACGUAUAAAAGGACAAGUCCCUGCUCAAGAGGAACACGUUCAUAUAUCAGAAAAUCUAGCCCUAUUCUAGAAAGAACAUCAGGUCCUCCUUGAGUAGAAGAUUUCCUUUUCUUCCCUGCGAUCAAUGGCUUCACAAGGUCAGAACUACAAUCACAGUAUUUGAUGCAUGUUCGUAAUCUAUGUUUGCGGCUAUAUUAAAACUCCAACAUCUGCCUCUAAGAUUAAACUGUUUCAAACGAAUGUUAGAUUUUUAGGGUACAAUAUCCACCAAUCUACCAUUCAACCCAUAGAUAGAGUUAUCCAAUUUGCAGAUAAAUUCCCAGAUCAGAUUACUGACAAAACCCAACUCCAAAGAUUCCUUGGAUCAUUAAAUUAUGUCUGCAAAACAUGUUUUACAAAAAGAUGUUCAAAACAUUGCAUCAAAACAGAUUUUUGCACGAUGGCAAGCCAUAUUAAGCAUUUUUUUAUUUUGAUAUCGAGUACAUUAAAGGCAGCCAUAACUGCAUUCCAGAUUUUUUAACCAGAGAAUUUUUGCAGGGAAAGAAUGUCAGGAAAGAACAACAAUAGUAGCCAGAGGAGGCUUCCAGCCACUCUGCCAUCUCCACCACCAAAAAAGGAAUCUAUUCCCAAUUCCUCAUCAUCGGCCCUAGCCAUACCAAACAGAUUUGUUCCCUUAGGAUCUCCAUUAGGAUCAACCGUUGGCCAAUUCCGACCAAACUACCAAACGGCAUUAGCCAGUCCUUAUGACCCAUAUUCAUCAAUGCCAUCACCUUCAACCCCAAAAACACCUAGCUUUGCUAAAUCAUCCCCUUAUGUCAAGAAACAUCCUAUGGAACAACUUUUUUCUAUCCCUCAUCAUAUCAAUAAACGGCAAUCGCUAGACAAAAUAGUGGUAAUUGCAUUAGCAUCUUUAUAAUCUUCAUUAUAAUUCUCACCUUCAAGCUAUAUAUAUAUAUAUAUAUAUAUAUACUGUUUGAGAAGGCAAUUAAAAUUUUACUCAUUUCUAGAAUAUGACAAAAAACAGAUUGUAUUAUUUUGUUUUAUAAGAAAGUAUAUUACCAUCAUUAUGUCAUUGGCUAUUCUUUGGAAAAUUUGUUUGCAAGUUCUUGAGGUUAGCAAUUGUAAUUAAGAUAACGAAAAGAUUUGGACUGUCAAAUACCUAACAAUUCAAAGAAAUAUACUAUAAACCCAACAACAUUCUUAUGUUCUAUUUAACAGGUUAUUGAAUGACACCAUAUUUCAAAAAUAUUUUAAAAUGAGUUGAGGUAAUGGAUGCCUUGAAAAUAAUUAGACCCUUGAGAUUUUCUUUUUAAUGUUUAGUCCGGUUCAUCUCUUCUUUUUCUGUAUGAAGGGAUACAACAUUUGUGGCUACUUGAGAGCUUAAAAUAAGCCUAGGAGAGCUUUUAUGUUAGAUCUCUAGUUAUGAUUGUAAUGAAAAAGUUUGUUAUAUGAUUGUGUCUCAAUUGACUUAGUGCCAUUGAAAAGGGAUCAACUUUUUAUCAUUGUUUUAAGUAUGCUAUAGACUGGCAAAUAGAACUUUGUUCUACGUCGCUUUAGAAACAUAUAUAUACAUGUAAUCACUUGAUUCACCUAUAUUAUGAGGUAUUUGAUAUGGAGCAGACACAAUCAUAUGACAUUGUUGUACAAUUCUUAAGAAUGUCUAAAACUGAAGAAUUUAUAUGAUUUGUAUAUAUAUGAAAACUUGGUUUUGAUAGGAACCAAAAGUUUGGCCAUAAUAAUUUGUCGUUACAAUAAGAUUAAUCAUUCAAUGGGGUUGUGUUUAAUUUUUUUGGAGUAUAAAUUAAAGGGUUGAGCUUGAUGGCUUUACCCUUUUCUUUUUUGUCUUUUCUAUGCUUUGCUUUCUCUAAUUUUUAAAUUUAUUUUUUUGCUAAUUAGUGUGAGAAAAUGGCUUCAAAAUUGGAAUUUCCAAUAUCUGGAAAAAGGAAAACAGGAAGAGAACACCAAUAGUGGUGACGAUGGAGAAUCCCUUCUUUGCGGUGGAGACGGUCUCUGUGCAACAUUCAGCCCAGUUUAUAAGAGCAGGGAUCAAAAUGAAGAACCAAUGACAUGGGGAUUUGUUUAAUUUUAUCAAGUUUUGUACUGAGGUAAAACUCCCCCCAUUUAACAUAGUUUUAAAUGCUGCAUGUGUGUAAAUAAGAUUGUGAGUAUGGUUGUAUAUAUGUAGUAGUAAAAUUAGAAACAUUGUUGUAAUUAUGUGUAACUAGAGUUGUAAACCCACGGCAUCGUGUGAGUUUUUUUGCUUGUAGGAUAUGGUUUGGCAGUUCUACUGCCAUUGUUCUAAUAUUCACAUCUUUUACAUUUGAAUUCCUAACUGCCCUUUUAUUAACAUAAUUAGUUACAAAAAGCAAAAGUGAGCCACAUAGUAUUCAGCAAGAAAAAAAACAAAGGCAUUUCCAAACAGAAGAUUAAAUAUUACACAACAGUGAGUCACAUGCGUACUCGAAGGGGGGAAGGGGAAAGGCUAUUGUCUUCCGGCGGCGAAUUAGGGACGCAUGCGCACAGUCCAAAGCCAAUGCAUAGGAUGGUAUGUUUUGACCAUUCAAGUCCCUAGACACACAUGUUGUAAACUGAAAUAGAAAGGAACGAAGUUACCCGAAAUAUGUAGAAGCCUUGAAUGGUGAAUGAAUCUUGGGAUGGGUUGCGGACUAAGUCGUUCUCUUUAAGACGUUUCGCGGCUCUGCCCAAAGUGUGCAAGCAGUUCACAAAUAUCAUGUCGUCCCAUGAUAAAACAGCCUAGAACCUUCUUCUUCUGAUGAGGUUCUUCCUUGCACACCGGAAGAAACCUCGAACUCACACCCUUUUCAAUAUGUUGCUUUCAGAACUCAAUUUUUGUUUUGAAAAUUAUAAAAACUAUUGUUUUCUUUUUCCUGCACCUUCCUUCGUACAGGGGAUCAAUAUAUAUAUAGAUAUAUGAAAUAGACGUUGCAGUGCUAAAUAAUUUAGGGGCUUAAAAACUGCAAGGAAUUAAAGCAGAAGAAAUCAAAACGUACGAAUCAACAACGGAACAAAAUUAAGUACAUGGACUUGAUCUUUAUCUUCAGAUAAGGAAUCUCAUCUUUAAGAUGAGAAGCUUUCUCACGUUUCUUUUUAUGGAAAUAAAUCAAUUGUCAAAUCAUAAGUUAAAAAUAAAUUUAUAAGGUUAAUUACUAUUUACGUUUUAUAUUUAAUAUUUGUAAUAAAUCAAAAUAUAAAUAUAUUUAAAAUAUUCGGAAGCCUCGAGAGUUGAGAUGCAAUUGAUUAUGUGACCUAAGUGCAAGUCCACCUGUUGUAAAAGGGUAAGGUCAAGAGCUCGAGAAUUGCCCUUCAACCUCAAAAUGCAUUUCUAGCGCCCAAAUUGGAGAGGGCAAUUUGUGGACCAUGCAAAGCCCGCCCAAUUGCCCGAGCAAUUUAAGUCCGACCUUGCGCCAGCAGACGUUCUCCCAUUUUUGUGUUGGUAUGUGUAAAACACGCACAUCAUAAGCGAGUGGGCUGACAACUUCUUAUAUCUUUUGGUAAAAUCACAUGUACGUAAGCGUGCACAUUACAAAAAUAAUUACUCAAUUUGCUUUGGCUUUAAAAUCCUAAAAGGCUUCUAUCUUUUAGUAAAAAAAGGCCAAAUACCAAAUUCCAUGCCAAAUGUCUAAUUAGCCCAAGUUUCCACAUGGCAUGAAGAUUAGCAAUUGAGCUCUAGCAACAGAUAUAUGAAGUAGAAUUCUCUUCAUUCCUAUUUUUAUCCCUUUUUCUUCGAGUAUUUAUUAAUAAUAACCAAAAUUUAACACUCAAUUUUAUAAAUGUCACAUUUUAUGAAAACUUUCAAAUAUAACAAAAAAACUCAUGUGAAUAGACCUAAAUACCCAAAAAAAAAUCCAAAAACUCAUUCAUACAUAAAAGGAAAACACUUGAAAAGAUCUCCUCUAUAUCGUUGUUAAAAGUGCGAGACGGAGAGGGGAGUUGGUAAACGUCGUGGAACAGUUCCGAGUGUUCAACAACCAACUAAUUGAGUACAAACUUGAAAAUUUGACUCUCAUGUUUGAAACUCAAAUGCUACCGUUGAUACAAUAUCAUCCCAGUAGAAUAUGCUUUACAAUCAUCUUAGCACACAUGAUAUUAGUUGAGGUUUCUAACUCAUUGAAAUCAAAUGGCAAUCUAAUUGUGCUUACAAAUUUCUCUAAAAUUUGUUGGAUAACAGUUUAAAACAACAACAGUUUUCACAGGAGGAUCUUUCCAAUUUAAUUCUUGCUUCUCUUCGCCGCAAAUAUAAUUAAUCUAUAACCCCUAUUAGGAAGUUCUGAAUUAUACCAGACCUCACAAACCAAUCAAAACUAAUUGGGUGAGGGUUUUGCCACUUAAUUAUGUCUAUUUGGUUUUAAUUUUAAGGGUAUUUUUAUCUAUUUAAGUGGAUUUUCUGUUAUAUUUGAAUUUUUUUUAAUAAAAAGUGAUAUUUAUGAAAUUGGGUGUUAAAUUUUGGCUAUUAUUUAUAAAAUACUCAUUUUUCCGCUCCUGUCACAGUUUUCUUUUUGUCUUUCUCUCUCUAUUAAAAAAAUUAAUAGAAGAUGGUGGUGUGGCUUUGUUUGUACCAUACUUAGGGCCUCCGUAUUUAGAUCUCGUAUAAAUACUCCGGGGACUCAAAUGUAAUUAUGUAAUAAAUGAAGGGGCAAAUAUGUAAUAAGUGAAGAGCCCUUAUUCUAUAAAAGGGACUCCUCACCCUCACAAUUAGGAGGGGCUCUCAUAUUCAGAGCAAGCCCCCUCACCCUCUCAAAGCCUCACUCACAUUACAGAGGCUUUCUCCCUCACAAUCCUCUUAGAAAAAUACAAUAUCAGUGUGGACAUAGCCCAAACAUUGGGGUAAACCACGAUACAUCUUGUGUUAUUCACUUUCUUGCAGAUUCACGGUCGGAUUUACAUUGUUCCAAGACCUCCGGUUUUGUGCAUCAACAGGCUUAAUCAUAACUGUUUAAAUAGGAGGGGAGGGAAGGGGAGAGAGAUUAGGAGGGGAGAGAAUCUUCCUCCCAUUUUGUUGGCACUGAGAGACCGAAAAUUGCCCUUCAACCUCAAAUUGCAUUUCCAGCGGACCAUUUUAUAGUGGGCAAUUUACCCGAGCAAUUUUAGUCUACCCUUACGCUGUCUGGCGUUCUCUUGGUGUGUGUAAAAUAUGCACAUUCUGAGUGAGUAGGUCGACAACUUCUGAUAUCUUUGACAAAAUGACAUGUACGUAAUUGUGCACAUCACAAAAAAUACUUACUCAAUUUGCUUUUUCUUGAUAACCCUAAGAGCAGUUCCACCGGGGAACCUUUAGGCCGACACCCAACCAAUCCACUCCAGCCUAGCAGAUAGGCUAGCACCCAGCCCAAGCUGGUCUCUAGGCCAGCUCAAAAUGUGCUAAGCUCUUGCCCGACCUACAUGACACCAUGCGAUACCGCCACGCCUCCCUCGACCCGAAUUCAACUCCCUGGGUGUGGAGCACCUCCUUGGCAAGCUCCGGCGAGGAGACGACGACCAGGUUGAGUUGCCCCAUGCGGAGGAGGAAGCAGUCGUUGAAUUUCUUGGCGAGGUUGGUGGGGCGAUGAUCACGGCGACGAUGGCGAUGGCGACGACCGAUGGUGAGGCGAUGACUGCGGAGUUUUGAAAUGGCAAUGCCGACAAUCACGGCAACAAAGAGACCCAAAAGGGUCUUUUUUAGGAGGAGGAGGUCCAUUUUUGGGGGAGUGUUGGUGUGGUGAGUAGUUUGGUAGGCGUACAAAGCGAAAUGUAGAGAGAGUUCCGGUGGGAGAGUGAAAAGUGGGAAGAAGAAUAAGGGAUAAUGUUAGAAAUUAGAAAUUAAAUUAUUAUUUUAUAAUAAAAAUUAAUAAUAUUUUAAUAAAAUUGACUAGGCUAUUUAGUUUUAGGGGUGGAGAUGCAUUUGGCCUAUUACUGUUCAUUGGGGUCUAUCACUAUUCACUGAGUGAAUUAAAUGGGCUGGGUGCUGGCGCGUUUUUUAAGGGUGGAAUUGCUCUAAUAGGCUUCUUAAAUAACUCCAAAUACCAAAUACCAAGUACCAAAUUUCAUGCCAAAUGUCUGAUUAACCUAAGUUUCCACAUGGCAUGAAGAUUAGCAAUUGGACUUUGGGAACAGACACCUCGCUGGCAUUGAGAGACUUUUGAGAUGCCAAAAUCUAUUGCUUUGCACAUUGACGUGGAGAGAUUUUUCAGUGUGGUUAGUACACAGGGUGGUACACCAUGUGCCAUGCACUAUACAAAUUGUGAGAUAUAUGUGUUAAAAAGUUAAUAACUUAAAAAAUAUAAUUUUCCACCACUUAUAUAAAAACACGUGAUGUACCACCCGUAUUCCAGUCACAAUGAAAAUUUUCUCAUUGACGUGGGCAAUUUCAAGCGCAUUGAUAGGAACAUAUUUAUACGACUUAGUUAGCUUGUUUUCUAGCAUUUUCAUAGCUAGUUUCUACUUAUUAGAGUGUUUUAAGCUAUUUUCAUGUGUUUUCAGGUUCAAAUGACAACGUUGGCAAGAAAGUGCAAUUUGUAGCAUUUUAGAGCAGUUUUGGGCCAAUAAUGGAUAGCACAUGUAUGGAGCAAGGUGGAUGGAUGUUUUUGAAGUUCAAGAGGCUAGAAAUAUGUUGAAGAGAUGAAGAAAAUAAAGUCGAGACAAAGAAGAUAAGGAAUUAACUAAAAGGAAGGAACAUUAUCCAAAACCUUAUCUUAUCCAAACUAACCUUAUCUUAUCUUAUCCUAUCCUAAUCUUAUCAUACCUUAAUUCCAGCUGCAAGGUGGAAUCAAUUGCACAUUAAAUCACCUAAAUACCCCUUUCUAAAAGCCUUAUCCUUUGCCUAAAAGAGUGUUGCACCCUUUCAUCCUUAAGCUUCUAGAAAUCUGCCAAAUAUUCCAUUCUAGAAGCUUUGUGCCAAAUUUCCUAGUCCUAUUCCCUUAGGAUUGUGUAAUCCUUCUCCUCCACUACUUUGUGCCGAAACCCUAGCCUAUAAAUACAUAUUUUCUCACCAUAAUUCACACAACACACAAUAGAGAAAUCAGAGAGGAAAAUAUACAUGAGUGUCGCAAGUUUCUGAGUUCUUUCAGAGACUUGUGUCAAGCUUUGCAAGGGAGGAAGGAGGACUUGUGCCGUGCCUAGCAGCUAAGGAUUGUGCCAAAUCUGCCAUUGGAGUGCUUGAGUGUUUUUUGGUUCUUUCUAUCCUUAGUUUUAGUCCAAUGUUUAGUUUAAUUUGGUUUUCAAUUAUGUUGAACAUGUGGAACUAAUUUCGUUUUAGUUAGAGGAGAAUUCGAAGCCAUGAACAUGUAUGUGAUAUGAAUUGAGUACUUCCAGUUAUGAUUUCAUAAAUCGUGAAUGCAAGUUUGAUUGAUAACUUGUUCUUGUGUGUUGAUUAAGGAGGCCUACUUAGUUUGCAUGCAUGAAUUUGAUGCUAGAGUAUAAGGGAAUUUCACCUAAUCGUUAUGAACUUAUAUUCACAAGUAGUAAAAGUCACUAAUCAUGAUUGUGUUAAGUGAAUUAUUGGCAGGAGUAUCAUGCAGUUCAUAGUUAUGAAUGCCUUGUCAAUGCUUAUAAUUUUCAUAGAACUUAAUGAUCUUUGAUACGUAUCUCUAUUAUGCAGUUCAUGUAGGGAACUUGAUAAGAAUAAUUUGGUUGCGUCGCUGAGUCCAAUUCAAUGAAUUUAGGAAAAUCUGAAAGUUAAUUUGUGCUUCUCAUGAUUAAUUUGGGGCAUUGUCAUUAAUGGUUUAUUGGAAGAAUAACUAGAAAUCGAUUUGUAUGCAUGUGUGUCAUGUGUGGAGAAGGACCCUCUAACUAGCCAUUCACCCUUUAAAUCACCAAUUUCGUCCAAAGUAUUUAGAGUCUUUAAAUCUGUUUAGUUUUAGUCUUAAAUUCGUCAAAAACAAACCCCCCCCUUUCUAUUUCAUGUACUUAGGUUAGAAAUUGUCUAGAUUGGUUGUUUUACAUUGUUUUGAGUAUUUUGAGUUCAAUUUUCGUCCAAACUACAUUCUAGUUAUUGUUUUGAGUAAAUUCAACUUAGUUUUGUGUUAUUUGAGUCAGUCUAGCUUGUUUUGAGUUGCUUGAGUCUAGUUUCAGUUUUUAAGUUUAAUUUGUGUUGAUUAGCGUCCCUAGUUAAUCCCCGGCCUAGAACGAUCCCUACUUACGCGUACUACAACUAUCUUAAUAGGGUUUAAUUUGUGUGUUAGUUUCUACCACAUCAUGCAUUGCAGAUGCUAUUAAUACGUCAUUAUCAUAAAGACAAUAUAAUUUAUAUUCUCAAUUGAUGUUUAUGAAUGUAUAAAACUCAUUAAAUUUAAUGAAUGUUGAACGAUAAUAUAAACGUUAACUUACAACUUUUAUUCAAGUGAUUAUUUUUUUGUUGAACAAAUGACAUUAUUUACUGUAAAGCAAAGGGAGUGGUCUAAGCCUCACAAUGGACUACUAACAAUGUGGUUCAAAUUUGUCUUUAGCGAGAAUCGAACAUAAGACCUUUCACUUACAAGUGAAGAGGAAUAUCACUGAACUAGUACUAAGUGAUUAUAAAAGAUGGAGAAAUCACAAAGAAAACUUAUGUCUCGUAAUUUCCAUAAAAAUCAUAGAAUUAAAAGGAACAAGUUUUCUUCACGAAUACUCUAGUUUAUAUCUUCACUUGAACAAAAUAAACAAAUUAAGGUUUAAUUUUUAUUUAACAUUCAUUAAACCUAAUAAUUUGUCAAAGACAAACCAAUUCUAGAGGACCCUUAGGGGGUCCCCUAAGGCCAUCUCCAACUGAACUGUCCAGAGCACCAGAGGGCCAAAAAUAGCCCGAAAAUCGUCCCCAACCUAGGGCUAGGCCAGAGGACUCGUGGGCCCCAUGGAAUCUGAACGGGCCAGAGGGCUGGCCAUCUUCAGCCAGCCAACCAGCCCACUUUGAUUUUUUUUUUUUACUUUUCACUUGCCCAGCCCGAUUCCCUUUUUGUGUUUUUCUUAUUUCAACCCACUUUAGGGCCUUCAAUUUUUGGUGUCAGCCCAUUUUUUUGUUUUGUUCUUAACAGCCCACUUUUUUUUGGAAUUUUUUUUUUAAUUUCUAAUUUUUUCCUACACCAUUUCUCACAUAUUUUUUCACCAUUCCAUAUUGUCUUGCCUCAUUUUAUUUCAAUUCUUCACAUUUCAUACUAUAGGCCUUUGGCCAUCGGUUGGAGAUGGUUUUUUGUGACAGGGCUAAAAUGAGCCCUCUAGUCCUUUGGCCCUCGGUUGGAGAUGGAGGCAAAUAUGGCCCUACAUUGUUCAUUAAAAUAUUAAUAUCUUGGAGGGCCAAAGGGCUAAAACGAGUCAUCUGGCCAGCCUUCGGUUAGAGAUAACCUAACAAUCUCUUGAAAAAUUACUCUACUUAACCGAUCGUUGUUGUACAUGACAUACCAGCCAAUGUAUACAAUUGAUAGAGACAAACUUUUCUCCUUCUGUCAAUAGUGGGAAGAAUCAAAAUCUUCACAUGAGACAAACUUUUGUCCUUCAGUCAAUAGUGGGAAAAAUCAAAAUCUUCACACUCCACUUCUAUGUAAUUGAGCUUUCAUGUAUCUAUUUUGACCCAAUUUUACAUUAUCGGCCCGAGUAAUCGAAGCCGUUGAAUGAGCAUGAUUUUAGACCGUUGAACGACAAAGUGGUUGAAAUGAUUUUUCAUUAUUAUUGAGAAAUAAUAUUGUGAUUUUAAUCAUGAUAUUAUCUCUUAGUAAUAUAUUAAAUUAUUUGAACCUAAUAUUACUCUAAAUCUAAGAUAUGCACGGUAUCAGAUAAUGAAGCAUGCAGGACAAGACAAUAUUAUGACGUCACUUGGAAGCUAUUAAUGGGGUUGGAUUUUGAAUUAAUUAUUAUCCAUUUUAAAUUAUGGUGAUAAUUUGUAAAAAGCGAACAGGGAUCAGGAUGCAUGCAUGGAUGGGUGUAAAGGUGAUGGAAUUUAUGAUGAUGAGAUAAGAAGCCUAGGUAGGCUAGGCUAUGAUGGUGAGAUAAGAAGCCUAAGUAGGCUAGGCUAUGAUGAUGAGAUAAGAAGGCUUUUGGUUGGAUAGGCUUUCAUUUUGUCAGAAAAUCACGAGUAGCCAUCUAGAAGAUAGGCUUUAGCCUAUGCCACAGAUCAGUAUUUCAGUUCUGCGAGUUAAGAGUUGCAGUUGAACUCUACAAAAGUAUUCGGCCAUGCUAAGCAAAAGAUAUGAAUGCUAUAAAUACAAGGUGCGCUGCAUCAUUUAGGCUCUCUUCAAUUCAACACACAAACUACCCUGUGCAAACUCUCGCUCUACACGAAACCUCUCAACAACCUUGACAUUAUUAUUUUCUUUUUUCCGCCAACACAUCUUCAGUUUGUAUAAACAACAUUGUGGAGGCAACUGGCGAUGUCUUUAGUUUGGAUAAACAGCACUGAAGCCGUAGAAUCAGCCAAUCAAGGAGCACCUUCAGUUUGGAUAAACAACACUGCUUCUCGGCCAACUGAUUACCUAUCCAAGUCUCGGUCAACAAGAAUUUUCGAGUCCUUGUUGGCAAAGGUCAUUUCAUCAGCCUUCUUGGUGAAGUGAGGUGUUACCGGGUUACUACAUUCUGCACAUUGAAAGCCGAAUCUGAUAUUGAACUUCACAAAACUAGCAGCCUUGUCUUCAGGCUCUAGAACCUGAAAGCCGAGACGUGUUCCUUCCUCAGCCGCAGUUGUAAGAUCAAGAAGUCAGCAGCGCGCCCAAUGCCACAUCAACAUAAUUUACUCCCCGGCCGAACUCGGCCAACGAGUUGGUACGCCCCGCACAUAACCAAAGGAUGUAGUUAGCUUAUUAAUUACUUAGCCUGCGCGCCACGUAGGCUUGGUAGUUUUUAGGGUCAACAGUAUCACAAACAACGCCACCACCACCGCAACCAUAGCCCUUGGACUUUACUCCAUCCAUCUUCAUUUGUAAAUCCCAAUAAUCAUGGGUAGCAAAAAUCGUGAUUUCCACAUCUGUUUCUUCUCUCUCAUCGCUCACAGCCAUAUGAUACCGAUAUCCAACAUGGCCAAGCUCCUUAAAUCACAAGGAGUAAAAACCACCACAGUCACCACUCCUCUAAAUGCCCCUACAUUCUCCAAAGCCACCCAAUCAAGUAAAACCUGCUCCGACGGCGUUGAAGUCAAAAUCAAAACCAUCAAGUUCCCUUCUGUAGAAGUCGGUCUACCAGAAAGGUAUGAAUCUAGACUCAAUCCCCUCACCAGAAUUAAGCACCAAUUUUCUCAAAGCAACAAGCUUUCUCUAAAACCUGCUUGAGCAGCUUUUGCCCAAAGAAAACCCUAGUUACCUUGUGGUAGACGUGUUUUUUCCUCGGGCAACUGAUGUUGCAGCAAAGUUUAUUCGAAGGCUAAUUUUUCUUGGCACUAGUUUCUUUGCCAUGGCUACCUUAGAUAAUAUGAGAAGGUAUAAGCUGUUCAAGGACACUUUAUCCGAUUUGGACCCUUUCGUGAUUCUGGAUUUUCCUAGUGAGAUUACGAUGACAAGAGUGUUAGCGUUUAUAGCUUUUAGUAUUGAGUUUUAUGAAGUUUCGGAUUGUAUGGGAAGAGAGAAAAUUGCAGAGAAAAUGCAGCAAUGGUGCUGCGAGAGUGAUGAAGGUUCUGAUUACUAUUCCAUUCACCUCCAACCAAAUAUAACCGUUAGAGGAGAGAGAAAAGAGAUUCUUCUCUAACAACUUACAACAAGAUCAAAUCCUAGCCUUAGAUUUUAUCACCCUAUGAGAUGAUUACACAUGUUAUAAUCUAUCACUUAAAUCUUAGGCUAGAGAGGGAGGUCGCUUGGACUAUGAUCCAACGACUCUCAUUACAUCUUAUUUAAGCCUUAUAAAAAUAGGAUUCAAAACUCUAACUUUGGCUCCAAGAAAUCAGCUCAAAGAAGUUAAGCACCAACAUUCCCUUCUAACCCUUUAGCUGAUUUCACUCCAAGUAGUUGUCUUAGGCAAGCAAAUCGAUCAUUUGGCAAGGUCUUGGUGGGUAUGUCUUCAAUCUAGUCUUUUGUUUUGCAAUAAACCAGUUCAAUUUCCUUUGCUUGGAUGGCUUUUAUGAUGAAAUGGAAUUUUCUGCAAAUAUGCCUAGUUUUCUGGUGGAAAACUGGGUUCUUUGCCAUUGUUAUAGCAAAAGUGUUGUCACACAGAAUUGGUGUGCCUUCCACUUGUUCCUCACCAAAGUCUUCAAGCACAAAUAUUUGCUAUUUUGCCUGUGAUGUAGUGCUGUUGCACCCAUAUUCUGCUUCUUCUGUUAAUAAAACCACUUUGUUGUGUUUGAUUAAAGCCCAUGAAAACACAUACCCUGAGGUACUUCUCAUGUCAUCCUCACUUCCAGCCCAGUCAUUGUCACAGUACCCUAUCAAAAUGGUUGCCUUCCCUUUCACAAACUCAAUUCCAAAGUCAAGAGUACCUUGGAUGUAUCUUAAUACCUUCUUAGUUAUUCCCAUAUGUUUCUUUGUGGGAUCAUGCAUGAAUCUUGCAAGUAAGCUAGAAGCAAACAUUAUAUCUGGUUUUGUAGCAGUCAGGUAUAACAAACUACCUAUAAGCUUUCUAUAUUCACUUUCAAAUGCUGCCUCACUGCCAUCCACCUCGCAUAACUUUUCACUCACAGCAAGUGGUGUUCCCACAAACUUGCAAUCUUUCAUUCCAAACUUCUCAAUAAGCUUCAUUGCAUACUUUUUUUGGUGUAUAAAAAUGUUUUUCUCUGUUUGUAUAACCCCCAUGCCAAUAAAGUGAUGAAGCAGUCCCAAAUCAGUCAUCUCACAGUGCCUCAUCAUGUCACUUUUGAAUUCUUUGAGCAAUUUUGGACAACUUCCAGUGUAUAUAAUAUCAUCCACACAGAGUGAGACGAUAAUAAUAUAUGAGCCUUCACUAGUCUUGACAUAGAGUGUUGCUUCAGUUGAACUCUUCUUGAAACCUGCAUUGUUGAAGUAUGGGUCUAUCUCAUCAUACCAGGUUCUUGGAGCCUACUUCAACCCAUACAAUGCUUUAUUCUACUUAUACACCUUGGUUUCCUUAUUUUCCUUCACAAAUCCUUGUGGUUGCUCAACAUAAACCUCUUCAUUCAAAACUGCAUUCAGAAAGGCAAACUUUACAUCCAAUUGAUAUAGGUUCUAUUCUUUCUAUGCAGCAAGUGCUAUCAAGGUUCUAAUAGUGUCUAACCUUGCUACUGGGGCAAAUGUUUCAUUGUAGUCUAUCCCAGGCUUUUGGGAGUAGCCCUUUGCCACUAGUCUGGCCUUGUUCUUUUGCACAGAUCCAUCCAGAUUAAACUUAGUUUUAUAGACCCAUUUAACACCAAUGAUUGGCUUGUCAAAUGGUCUGUCGACUAGCUGCCAUGUCCUGUUUUCUUAAUCAUCUCCAGCUCAAAUUUCAUGGCAUUCUUCCAUGACUCAUCUAUAGCAGCAUCUUCAUAGCUUUCUAGCUUUACAAUGCACAUGUUGCAAUGUGCCAUGAUCUCAUUGAUAUUCUUCAAUUUCUGUGGUGUGUGGUCAAUUGCUUGAGAGCUUCCAAAAUCACUCUCACUCAAUAGAGUACCAACUUCAUUCACUUGAGAUGAUGUGUUCAAGGAUUAACUUGGCUCACAAGUCUCAAUCUACUUUUGACCAUCAUUGCAAUUUGCCAUUUGAUACUCAACAACCAUAGGAACUCUCAUUUCACCUUUCUCUAUGUGUUCCCACUCCCAUGAGACAUCUUCAUCAAAAGUAACAUCUCUAGACAAGAUAAUCUUUCUGGAAAUUGGAUCAAACAACCUAUACCGUUUCUCACAGGUUUUCUAGCCCACAAAAAUGCAUUUGUGACUAUGUUCUUCAAGCUUAUGCCUUAAUGUUGAAGGGAUAUGCAUAUAGCCCAAUGAUCCAAAGAUUUUUAGGUGUGCAACACCUGGCUUUCUGCCACUGUAUGCCUCAAAUGAAGUCAUCUUCUUUAAAGACAUGGAGGGACAUUUGUUAAGUAUGUAGACUGCAGUGUUCACAACCUCUGCCCAAAGUGCAAAAGGAAAACCUUUUUCAUGCAUCAUAGACUUUGCCAUCUCCACCAUAGUCCUAUUCUUUCUCUCAACCACUCCAUUAUGUUGGGGGGAGUAUGCCAUGGUUAACUGUCUCUAAAUUCCAAGCUCAUUGCAGUACUUGUCGAACUCAGUUGAUAGAAACUCUCCACCCCUAUCACUCUUGAGACAUUUCACUUUGUAUCCACACUGCAGCUCAGAAAUUGCUUUGAACUUUUUGAAACAUUCAAAUGCACUUGAUUUGUUCCUGAGGAAGUAUACCCAAGACAUUCAGGUACAAUCAUCAGUGAACAAAAUGAAGUACUUAUUGCCAUAGAUAAAUUCAGUUUGCAUUGGUCCACAGAUGUCUGUAUGAACCAAUUCCAAUGGAAAUUUAGCUCUCCAAGUGGAUUAUGAGGGAAAUGAAUCUCUAUAUUGCUUUCCUAGCAUGUAGCCUUCAUAUACAAUAUAAGUCUUCUCCAAUUUAGGCAGUCCAUGAACCAUUUCUUGGUUUUCAAGCAAUUUGAUGCUCCUAUCAUUUAGAUGUCCUGGUCUCUUAUGCUCUAUGUGUAAACAAUGUGUCACACUUGCCUUCAAUGCCAAUUGGUUUGUAGGCAUCAUUGUAAGAGGGAAGCAUCUGUUAUUUGUCAUCUGCACUCUAACCACCAAGUUGUCAAGUGACAACCAUUGAAGAAAUUCACCACAUUUCCACCAAACAACAGAUAAUAGCCAUGAUUCAUCAUUUGUCCAACAUUGAGAAUAUUCUCCUCAAGUCCAGGGACAAGUAUCACUUCUUGAAUGUGUUUUCUUCCUAGUUUAGUCUUUAUCACUAGAGUUCCAUUUCCUGCCACCUGAACAAUUUCUCCAGUCCCCAACUUCACUCUAGAAGUCAAAUUUAUCAUAAUAUUGACUAACAAUCUCUCAUCACCUGUCAUGUGGUUACUACAACCACUGUCAAUGUACCAUGAAUGAUUCACCUUCAUAUCAGUCACUGCAUUGCAUGCAUAGAACAAGGAACCAAUUUCUUCAACCUGGUUUACAUAUAUACUUUCUGUAUACCCUUAUUUCCAUUGCAGUCUCUAAGUAUAUGCCCAAACUUCCCAAAACCUGUGCAUUUAGGCUUUCCUUCAAACCAGCACUUGCCAUUAUGCGAUUUAUCACAAUGUUUACAAGCAGUUUUGUUUCCAUCAUGAGAGACAUUUGGUUUGGGAGUAAAAUUGGGCUUAUUAUCCCAUUUCUUCCCUUUGGAUUUCCAGUUUUUCUGAAACUUUUGAUUUCCAGAAAACCUCCUCCUUUGAGAUUAUUGGCUCCAACAUUUAGACUUGUAAAAGCCAUAUCUGUAGAAUUUUAAGCAUGUCUAUCUAGUCUGAGUUCAAAACUUUUCAGAGAAGCUACAACCUCCUGAACCUCAAGAGUCUCAAGGUCCUUGGAGUGCUCAAUUAUAGAGCAAAUAGGGUUAUAUGAUCUUGGCAGACUAAUCAAUAAUUUUUGCACUAUUUUUUCCCUAGAUAGAUCCUCACCAUAAUUCUUCAUUUGAUUCAUUAUAUUAAACAGUCUAGUAAGAUAUGCAGAUAAGGAUUCACUAUCUUUCAUACGAUUAUAUUCAAAUUCUCGACAUAAACCUUCUAGUUUUACGCUCCUUACUUGCUUGUCCCCUCUGAACUCUUGCUUCAGAAUAUCCCAAGCACCAUUUGAGGCCUCCUCGUUCACGAUUCUGGGGAAAAUUUGAUCUAAAAUAGCUCCUUGGAUCAACCCAAGUGCGUGAGCAUCCUUCAUCAGGAUUUCAGUCAUCAGGAGCUUUUCUACUCCAGUGAUCUCAGCCUUUUUAUCUUCAUCUUCGAUCUCCUCAUUCUCUUUCUUCAGAUCUGAAGUAUCGAAAUCGUUUUCAACAAAAUCCCACAAUCCAUGAGAUUUCAAAAUAGUUUUCAUUCGAAUACUCUAGAACUCAUAGUUUUCUCCGUUGAAAAUUGGAGUACAAAGCUCACCUGUACUCGAUCUUGCCAUAUUAGACAUUGGAUUCAAGAAAUCGCACAAUCUCGAUCAUCAAAUGAGCUCAAACACAACUCGAAUCAAUUCUAGUUUCUGAAGCCAUGUUAGCAUUCAUAGCUUUUAGUAUUGAGUUUUAUGAAGUUUUGGAUUGUUUGGGAAGAGAGAAUUGCAGAGAAUAUGCAGCAAUGGUGCUACGAGAGUGAUGAAGGUUUUGAUUACCAUUCCAUUCACCUCCAACCAAAUAUAACCGUUAGAGGAGAGAGAUGAGAGAUUCUUCUCUAACAACUUACAACAAGAACAAAUCCUAGCCUUUGAUUCCAUCACCCUAUGAGAUGAUUACACAUUUUAUAAUCUAUCACUUAAAUCUUAGGCUAGAGGGACAACCUACUUGGACUAUGAUCCAACGACUCUCAUUACAUCCGAAUUAAGCCUUAUAAAAAUUGAAUUCAAAACUCUAACUUUGGCUUCAGGAAAUCAGCUCAAAGAGGUUAAGCACCAACAAAGAGCACAAGUGCCUGAUCAUGUCAAAGAAAAUAUCGAAAACGACUUGACCCAGAUGCUCAAACGGGCCAAGGAAGCUGAGAAAAUGAGCUACGGAAUUGUUGUGAACAGUUUCUAUGAGCUCAAAUCGGUUUAUGCAAAUUAUUACAGAAACGUGCUUGGGAUGAAAGCUUGGCAUAUUGGCCCUGUUUCUAUGUGCAACAGAAACAAUGAAGAAAAAGCAGUUAGAGGAAAAGCAGCUUCUAUCAAGGAGCACGAGUUCUUAAAGUGGCUUGAUUGAAAAGAACCUAAUUCGGUUGUUUAUGUGUGUUUUGGAAGCGUGGCUAAAUUCAAUGCCUCUUAGCUUAAGGAGAUUGCAAUGGGGCUUUCACCUAGGCCGAUUUUUAGAACAUUGAUAAAUAUUAAACUGAAAAAAAUAUGCACAUAUGGUGGGCCACCCACUAAUCCAGGUGGAAUUCUAGCCUAAAUUUGCCAUAAAGUUGGGUUAAAACUCAUAUUUGGCCAAAGGGUUAGAGAAAGUUGGGGUAAGGAUCCAAUUUUCUUUAACUCCCCUUUAUUAACUUGUGAGUAUCACACAAAGCUAGAUAUAAUGAAAUAUAUAUUUGAUUACAUAGAAAAAUCUUCAUAUAAUUUACAAGUAGUUCGAUAUAAAAUCCUAAACAUGGCAUUGGUUGGAUUUCACAAGAGAGAACUUUAGAUUAUAAAUUUUUGUCUCUUUCUUUGUAAGGGUGUUUCUAAGAUGCGGACUUUGCGUCCCAAACUUGUGCAUGGACCGGAAUCUAACUGUUGUGAUUUGUUGAGCUCAUGGUAAAACCGGGGUGUUGGUAUUUUUGUUUUGCAAUUGCAUUUAGGAUGUGGUACUAGAUUGCCUACGUGUCCUUGGUGGAAUCAAACCAAUGUAGUUCGUGGUUUUCAUUGAUCAGUCAAUGACCCAUUGAAAAAGAAAAUUUUGUUUGCUUGGAUUUGGUGUCAUGUGCAGUUUCAACUCGUGCAUGCAAGGAGUGUUUAAUGUCUUGUGUAGUUUCAGCUCGUGCACGUAAGGGCUUUGGGCCAUUUGGAGUGUUUAAUGCCUUGUAUAGUUUCAGCUCGUGCACGUAAGGGCUUUGGGCCAUUUAGAGCGUUUAAUGCCUUGUGUAGUUUCAGUUUAUGCAGGUAAGGACUUUGUGCCAUUUGGAGUGUUUGAUGCCUUGUGCAGUUUCAACUCAUGCGAUUUUGUGCCAUAAGGUGGGGCAAUAUCCCAUGUGAGCAGCAUUCCUCAUAAAAUUGGGAACUUUGUUUGCAGACUUCUUUCUUCUUCUUGUAGAAUUUACAAACUCUUUGGCAAGAGGCACAAAUUUAUAAAAGAAACCACAUGAUUUCACAUUGGAGAGCUAUCGUUUUCUUUUUCUUUUUCUUUUUUUUUAAAAAAAAUAAAUAAAUAAAGGUUGCCACGUGAGUGUCUUUCCCAAUUAAUUUGGGAAGUUGUUAGAAAGCUUUUUUUUCUUCUCUGUGAACAUGAACUCUUUCAAGUCCAAAUAAGCCCCUCCUAAAGCUCUAAAGUUAUUUGGAUUCUCCUUUUUUCUUUUUUUCUUUUUAGAGACCGCGCUUGCGGUAUACUUUGGACUUCUGAGAGCCUAAUCACUCUGCAGACGGGACCUGGGUUGUGGGGGGACCACGUGAAUAAGAGGACCUUCAUCCUUGUUCUUUGUUGCAGGUCGUCUCUUAGCAUUUAUAAUCCUUGAAUUAGAUAACAACUUUGAAGGCAGUAGCCUACACCAAACAAUUUAAUUGAACUGAACGUCCUUUCUUUUGCACAUUUUGUGAUUAAAGAAGAACAUGCAGCCGUCGACGUUUGGAAUUGAAUGAGAUGCAGUGGGGACUCUCUCCUUGUUGCUACAGUAGGGACUGGUGAUGACAUCGUCAUUUGGCGGUUGCUUCCUUGUUCUACACGAGAUGCAGUCUUCAAAACCAUCGUUGUCUACAGAAUUUUUUCGUAGUGUUUAGCGUACAAAUGUCGUGGUGUAGAGAUGUCAUUUUCACGUAUAGACUUGUUGUACCGGAAAUUCCUUGACUAGUAGAUUUCGACCUUUUGCGCCGAGAAAAUGCUUGACGAGUAGAUCCGAGCCACUGAUUUUGAACAUCUUGGAGGAGUUCACUUUCUAGCACGUCCGUGUCUGCGUGCAGACAUGCUAUGGCAAGAAGACCUCGACCAUCCUUCUAUUCAUACUGGUUACGUUCUUCUGAAAAAAAAGGCAAGAAUUGCUAUGCUCAUCUUUUGGCAAGAUCCAUUUUUGUUCUUGCAUGCCAAACUGCUACAAUCAUCGGAAAGCUGACCUUGUUGGUCUAAUUUCGAAGAGCACUUUGAUAGCGGAGAAGGAUUUGUUAAUGUAGGAGAAUCCAAUUAGGAUUCUCAUGGGCUAGGUUUUGUAAAUCCAUGUGGACUUUAGAUUACUUGUACUCCUAAUCAAUUGACUUGUAUAUAUUUGUAUCUUUCUGAGAUCAAUUAAAUCAAUACAAUAUAAAUCUACAUGGUAUCACUUGUUCUCCCUUUCCUUGCAAAACCCUUGCCUCUUUUUCCUCCAAAUUAACUUCUAGUCGUCCCCCCCCCUCUCUUCUUACCGUGCCCUAGCUUCUCCCAUUGCGACUAGGCUUCGUCAUCCUCCACCCAUGUUGGGCCCUCUCUUUGGUCCCAACAUUGCCCACUUUCUCAAAGUCACUAAUUCCAACUCCUACUUCGGCUUAGUCAGAUGAAGCCAUUUCCUCUGCAUCAUAAUUUAUUUGGCCCAUGUGGAUGGCUCUAUUCCGGUCCCUAACACCACUCUUCAUGCUACUGACAAAGCGCCCAUUGCACCAAAUCCUGCUUUUGCUACGUGGUUCCAGACUGAUUAACUAGUUGUCAGUUAUCUGACUUCUACACUUGGACUUGGAUUGUCUGCUCUCCCAUUUCGGUGCCCUCCCCGUGUCCUCCUGUUUUGUGUGGUCACGGUUAAGCCACGUCAAUAUUUUAUAUUAUUUUUUUAUAAGAAUAAUAAAACAAAAAGAAAUAAUAAUAUAAAAUGUUGACGUGGCUUAACCGUGACCACAAAAACAGGAGGGCACGGAGAGGGCAUCAAAAUUGGAGGGCAGACAAUCCAAGUCCUCUACACUUUCCAAGCCUAUUUUUUUCCUGCAAUUGGGAAAAUCCUCCUCUAAAGCUAUUUGGGAAUGUCUUGCGCACUUUUCUCAGCAAUCUCUCACCAAUGCCACGAAUCUUCGAUUUCAACUUUUGGCACUUAUGAAAGGCUCCCGUACCAUCUCGGACUACCUUAAAUAGGCUAAGUUUUAAUUUGACUCUCCUGCUGCUAUUAAUCAACCUGUCUUUAAUACUGAUUUGGUGAGCUCUAUCCUUAAAGGUCUUGGUCCUGAUUAUUCUAUGUUUCUCAUAGCUGUAAUUAAUUCUCCACCCUUCCUGGAGUUCCAUGACCUACGUUCUCGGCUCUUAACUUUUGAGAACCAGCCUCGGCCUACUCCCGCUGCCAAUUUUAUGUAGCAGCCCGUGGGUCAAACUUCUCUGCACAGCCAGUGGGCCACCCUCAUCUACACUAACUCGUUAAUCAAAACCUGCAGCAUCCUAUACAUCCUCUCCUACCAGAGCAGGCCCAUUACCAGCAACCCAACCCUCCCCAAGUUGCUGCCUUCUAAGUGCAAGCCCAUGAUGCCGUGCAGCAACAAGGCCUGCCACGUGCCAGAAAUUGAGGUCGUGGUGAGUUUCACCACCGCCCACAUGGGGUCGUGAUGGCCAUCGUGGCGGUGGAUGCGGUGGUCGUGGUGGAUGGUAGCCCAAUAAUUAUGGGUUUAAUCCUCCUAAUCAGCAAGGUAUCCUCAGUGCUCCUCCUGAUUUUUGGUGUAGUUAUUGUAACUCACAUGGCCACCAUGUCUCUACUUGUCUGCAUCGCCCCGCUCCCCUCAUUGUUGGUUAUCAUGUUUUUCCACCUAGUGCGGCUAAUGAUCCUACUUGGUACCUUAAUAUGAGAGCCACUCACCACAUGACCAACAAUGGGGCCGCUCUUCAUGACUCAUCUCCUUAUAAUGGUAACGAAACUGUCCUAGUUGGUAACGAGACUUUUCUUCCUAUAACUCAUAUUGGAUCUUCUUUUCUCACAUUAGGUUCUCAUCCACUCAAAUUAAAUAAUGUCUUAUAUGUUCCUUUCAUUAAGAAAAUCUUAUCUCUGCCUCUCAGUUUACUAAAGAUAAUUCUGUUGUCAUUACUAUUCAUCCGUUUAGUCAAGUAAUUCUCAAUUUAUAUUGUGGUUCUUUGUUGUUUUAGGGCCGCUGUGAAGGUCAUCUUUAUCCCGUCAGCCCAUCAUGUCCGUUAGCAUUUCAUGUCAUUUCCUCCUCCUUGUGGCACUCCCGUUUUGGUCAUUCGUCUUCCGAAGUUUUGUCUAAGAUGUCUUUAGGUUCUAUGUCGCAAAUAAAUAAGGCCUUCUGUAAGCCAUGUGCACUUUUUAAGUCGCACAAGUUACCUUUUAAUUCCACACUCUUGAACAAAAUGGCUUGGCCAAAAGCAAGCACCAACAUAUAUCCACCGUCACCCGUCUUCUCCUAAAUACUGCCCAUGCCGCCCCCUCCCAUUGGGUUGAAGUCUCCCUCACCGUUUUCUUUAUUAUUAAUCUUCUUCCUUCUUUGGUUUUGGGUUGGUCUAGUCCCUAUUUACGCUAAUUUGAUCGUCAUCCCAAUUUAUCCCACCUUUGUACGUUUCAUUGUGUUUGUUACUCGCAUUUUGGAGCUUAUAUCACUAACAAAUUAGAACCUCGUUCCAAAGAAUUGUUUUUUGUAGGUUACAGCCUCAACAUAAAAGUUAUCGCUGUCUAGACCUAACCAUUAAUCAGAUUUUUAUCUUUCAUGUCAUGUUUGAUGAGAAUAAUUUUUCGCUUGCCCAACCUGCUACCCCUGCAGCUCUGCCUCCUUUUCUGCUUCUCUUGGAACCUGCGCAUGCACCUCUCCAUGGAUCCCAGCCCAGCGCACCUCCCCCUAGAGCCCAACCCAUCAUGCCUUCUCAUGAAACUCCACCUAUGAAUCCAAUCUUGCAGCCCGGCCCACUUCUUCUCGCACCCAGCCCAGUGGUUCCCGCUCCCAGUGCGCCUGCUUCUGUCCCUCCGACCAGCGCGGCGAGCCAUGUGGCGUCAGUCUACAUGCCAUCAAGCCCAACAUCUCUGCAGCCUUCCAGCUAACUUUUGUUGAGUCCUCAGCUGGCCACUAUACCAGCGCCCUUCUUGUCUGCCCAUGGAGACUAGAUCACACACUGCCCGCUCUCAACCCAAACAGUGUUCCAACGACACUGUUUGUUACCCACUGCCCCAUUCACUCACGGAGUCCAUCUCUAAUUCCGUUGAACCCACUUGUUUCACUCAGGCCUCACGUCCCCUUGAGUGGCGUACAGCCAUGACCGUGGAAUUUAAUGCUUUACUUAAAAAUGGUGGGUGGUUUCUUAUUCCCUCUCAUCCCUCUCAGAAUUUAGUUGGUUGCAAAUGAGUCUUUUGGAUUAAGUAUAAUGCAGAUGAUUUCAUUGAGCUGUGUAAAACUUGUCUAGCUGCCAGCAAUAUGAGUUUUAUUAUGACAAGACAUUUAGUCUAGUUGUUAAGCCUGCCACUAUUCCUCUUGUGCAUUUACUCAUGAGUGGUCUAUUCAACAACUAGAUGUCAGAAAUGUUUUCUUGCAUGGUUGUUUAUAUAAAAAUGUUUAUAUGGUUCAACCGCCUGGUUUUGUGGACCCUCAACAACCCUAUCAUGUCUGUAAAUUGCACAAGGCUCUUUAUGGUCUCAGGCAGGCUCCCCGAGCUUAGUUUCAGCACUUUAGUAUAUUUAUCCUCCGCCAGGGCUUCAUUCAGAGUCUUGCUAACCCAUCUCUCUUCACUUUUCACCAUGGUAUGACACAUCUCAUUUUACUACUUUAUGUCGAUGAUAUUGCGUUAACUAGCAAUGAUUCAAUGGAUCUUUUGGGCAAUGAAUUUGAGAUUAAAGAUCUUGGGCCUAUUCAUUAUUUUCUUGGUUUUGAGGUUCGUCCUACUUCUGUUGUCUCCAUGUAUCUCAAACCAAGUAUGCUCUCGAUUUGUUCGUGAACGGGUCAAGUUGGGUACUCACAAAGUCCAGUUUAUUCCUUCCAUUGACCAACCUGCGAAUGUUCCCACUAAAGGACUCUCUACGCCUCGUUUUGAUUAUCUACGUUCCAAACUUGCCACUCCGAGACCGCCAAGUUUGAGUGGGUUGUUAGUGUAGGAGAAUCCAUUAGGAUUCUCAUGGGCUAGGUUUUGUAACCAUGGACUUUAGAUACUUGUACUCAAGUCAAUUGCCUUAGUAUAUAUUUGUAUCUUUGUGAGAUCACGGGAAGGUUGCUUCUAGAGUGAAGAGCGAUUGGCACCAUUUUGAUUUGUUAUAAAGAGAGAUCCUUCACUGGAGCAAAUCUUUGUAAGAGCACGUGGGAAACUAACUUUGCUUCGAUGGUCUUGUGCCAUGAGUGGAGAUUUGUGUAAGGAAACAAAUAAUAAAGAAAAAUAAAACUUUUACUUUUGAUUCUUCUUCCUCGUGAACGUUCUACAUAAUUGCAGUCCUUUGCUCCUUUCUUCUCUUUCUGUUAGGACUCUCUCUUUCUAUUUCUACAGUUUGCAUUCGUCUCUCCUCUGCUGCUCUCUCUACUCUCUCUCAGCUUUUCGUUGUCAGUCUCCCCCUUUCAUUUCAACCUGGCUUCGUCUUUUUAUAGACGCAAGGAGCAGUUCAUAGAUCAUUUUCCAUUUUUGUUACAUGUACCACUUUCUUGGGAUGUGGAGAGGUUGAGAGAAGGCUAUCAUUUAUGACGCGUUUACGUAACCGUAAUGAAAAUAGGAGGAAUUUAAUUGAGGAGGAGUUGGAAUGAGGAGAACUCAGAAUCAGAUUCAUGUUGAAGCUGUUUACUUAAAUGUUCUAGAAUUGGAAUAGAAAUGACACUAAUUUCAUAAAACUGUUUACUAAUUUAGCACAAUCGGAAUAUAAACCAAUAUGAUUACUAAAAUGCCCUUGUCCCAAAUCAAGUAUUUUAUAUACUUUUUUUUAAUAAAAUUUGGUAUAAUUUUUAAUAGUAAGAAAAAAGAUUAAGUUGCUUUUUUUAUUUCAUAGACACACUAAAAUACUUUUGUUUAAUUUUUUAUUUAUAAAUUUAAGUAUUUACUUUAAUAUUUAAAUUUUCUCACUCAAGUUGUAGUUUCUUCUCUUCAGCAUAUGCAUGGAGUUGUGCAUAAUGUGAAUGAGCAUGGAGUUGUGCAUAAUAUGAAUGAGCAUGGAAAUAAAAAAAAGUAAGGAGUUGUGCAUAAUUAAACUAGGGUUAGUGGGUUUAUAAAGGAUAGUCUUGGAAAUAAAAAAAAAGUAAGUGACAUAAAGGGAACAAAAGUGUCAUUCCGAUUGCCCAAGCAAUCAGGAAUUGAAUUGCCACCUACAUCUAAGGAAUCCAAUUCCACCAAUACAAGGAAUUGAAUUCCAAAGUUUGUGCUCCCCAUUGCUUUUUUGAUUCCUCAAUGUUUAGUAAACACCGGAGUACUCCGUAAUCGGAAUUUAAUUAUACAUUUUCAUUCCGAUUACGGAUACGUAAACAUGCCCUUAAUUGAGAACGUGGGAGGGCAAGGAUAAGAGCUCAUAAAUUGCCCUUCGACCUCAAAUUGCAUUUCCAGUGGGCCAUAUUGAAGAGGGCAAUUUGUGGGCCAUCAAAGCCCGCCCAAAUGCCUGAGCAAUUUAAGUCCCACCUUGGGCCAGCAAGUGUUCUCUCUUUUUUUUUUAUACGUAUAAAACAUGUGCAUCCUGAACCAGUGGGUCGACAACUUCUUAUAUCUUUUUGGCAAAAUGACAUGUAUGUAAUUGUGCACAUCACAAAAAUACUUACUCAAUUUGCUUUUGCUUGAAAACCCUAAUAGGCUUCGUUCUUUUAAGAAAAAAACGCCAAAUACCAAAUACCAAAUGUCUAAUUUACCUAAGUUUCGUUCUCAAAAAAAAUAAAAAAUAAAAAUUACCUAAGUUUCCACAUGGCAUGAAGAUUAGCAAUUGGACUCUGGCAACAGACACCUCACUGGCACUGAGAGACUUUUGAGAUGCCAAAAUCUAUUGCUUUUGACAUUGACGUGGGUAAUUUCAAGCUAUAUAUAUAUUUUAUUUUUUUUGGUUUUUUCAGCCAAAAGAAUCAUAUAUUAAAAAGAAAACAUUUGGAUCGAUACAACCAUUCCCAACAAAAUCAAAACGAAAAGCAUGUGAAGCAAAAUCAAGAAUAUGAUGCUCUCACAUAUGACAACCAGUUAUUAGAAGACAGCAAAGGCAUCAACAACAAAAUUUGCCUCUUUAAAAAUAGGGUUCCAAUAUAAUUUAUAUUCUCAAUUGAUGUUUAGCAAUGUAUAAGACUCAUUAAGUUUAAUGAAUGUUGAACGAAAAUAUGAAUGUUAACUUGCAAAUUUUAUUCAAGUGACUAUAAAAGAUGGAGAAAUUAUGAAGAAAACUUAUGUCUCGUAAUCUCCAUAAAAAAAUGGUAGAAUUAAAAGGAACAAGUUUUCUUCAUGAAUUCUCUAUCUUGUAACUUCACUUGAACAAAAUAUACAAAUAAACAUUUUUAUUUUAUUCUAUGCUCAUUAACCUAAUAAAUUGUCAAAGACAAACCAUUUUUAUUUUUUAACAAACAAUAUUAUCUACAUAAAAAAGGUGGGAGAGUGGGCAAGCCUCCCAAUGGGCUAAGCUUCCUAAUGAGCUAGUAAAAAUGGGUUCAAAUUCGUUUUUGGUGAAAAUUGAACCUAAGACCUCUCAUCUACAAAUGAAGAAAAAUGCCUCUAGACCGUAGCGGAAAAAAUUACUCUACUUAACCGGUCGUUGUUGUACAUGACAUACCGGCUGAUGUCUACAAUUGAGAGAGACAAACUUUUGUCCUUCUGUCAAUAGUGUGAAGAAUCAGAAUCUUCACAUACUCCCCUUCUAUACAUUUGAGUUUUCACGCAUCACAAACAACGCCACCGCCACCGCAGCCCUAUUGAAAUCCCAAUAAUCAUGGGUAGCAAAAACCGUGAUUUCCACAUCUGUUUCUUCCCUUACAUGGCUCACGGCCACAUGAUACCGAUCUCCGACAUGGCCAAGCUCUUUGCAUCCCAAGGAGUAAAAACCACCAUAGUCACCACUCCUCUAAAUGCCCCAACAUUCUCCAAAGCCACCCAAUCAAGUAAAACCUACUCCGGCGGCGUCGAAGUCAAAAUCAAAACCAUCAAGUUCCCUUCUGUAGAAGCCGGUCUGCCAGAAGGGUGUGAGAAUCUCGACUCACUCCCCUCACCAGAAUUAAGCACCAAUUUUCUCAAAGCUACAAGCUUUCUCCAAGA
Molecule: long non-coding RNA, 50438 nt
Filed under: Malus domestica (apple)
Lineage: Eukaryota; Viridiplantae; Streptophyta; Magnoliopsida; Rosales; Rosaceae
Description: long non-coding RNA (MDOM_LNC004684)
Source: RNAcentral